Molecule: long non-coding RNA, 84474 nt
Filed under: Prunus persica (peach)
Lineage: Eukaryota; Viridiplantae; Streptophyta; Magnoliopsida; Rosales; Rosaceae
Description: long non-coding RNA (PPER_LNC008394)
Source: RNAcentral
UAUAGUCGGCCUUCUCCGCCACCCACAUGUUCACGGCAUCCGUGCCCGACAAGUCAGCGGUGCUCAUGGCAAGGUUUUCGCCGUAGGGCCCACCAGAGUGGACAAGAUUGCAGUCGCCAAUGUGUUGAUUGGCAUAGUCUUGCGCAUAGCCUUGUAGCUUCUCAUCCCAUGACAAUGGCCCGACAUUUACCGCCGCUCGAGCGUUGUUAUGGGCAGUGACGUAGUCUUGCGGUGUGUCUUGGGCAUGAGUGGAUUGGAGAAGGGCAGAGCCUAAAACACAAACGAGGGCUAGUAAAAUCUUGGACAGGCCCAUGUUGGGUUUUGAGAGUUUGAUAAUGUAUGAAGGAGUUUUUUGUUGCGAGAACGAUACAUAUAGUGUGGGGUAUUUAUAAUGGAAAAUGUGGAAAUUUAUGUGCGUUACUAUUCAAGAGCGUUCCUAAUACGUUACUGACGCUAUCAAUAAUGGAGUGUGCUUGUGCAAUAUGAUAUCAAAAUACUUGAGAGCUUGUGAAAUAUAUUAUCGAUGCAUCUAGAAAACAUAUGAGUUGCUUUGCCAUCAGAAAAUAAAAAAUAAAAAAACGUAUGAGUUGAUCAGUUAGCUAGGUCUAGCUAAGGCUAACCGUCAAUUUCGGGGAAUAAAUUGAUGGCAAACUUCGGAAGACAAGAAAAGAAAAGUAAAUUUUGGAAAAUAGGGGAAAUGAAUAUGAAGUAUAUACCAUACCAUGAUUGCUUUGGAAAAUCCUUUAUGGACUUUACCAUACCAUGUGUAGUGCGUGUAGUUGUACGGGUCUUGAAAAAAAAAGAGAUAUUUAGUCAUCAGUCCUCUUCUAUUGAGGGAUCCCUCAAAUAAUUUUAUUUGAGGGACGCCCCUUAGGGUACCCUACAAUUUUUUUCCCAAUGAUCCAAACCAUCUAUUUUUUAGGUCUUUAUUCAUAGAUCAUCCUUACAAAAAAUUAGACAAAUUGGAAACCAUUUCAACAUCCAAUUGUGUCUUACAAAAUCAAUGAAUACGAUGCUUCAAGAAAAUGCUAAAAUUUCAAUAGCUUAAUUGAGUGGUCAAAUAAUAUCGGAUUCAAGUGAUUUUUUGUUGAUAUGAUCUUUGAAUGAGUAUAUACAAAAUAGACGGUUUGGAUUAGUGAAAUACAAUCCGGAGUGGGGCCUACAAGGGGUGUCCCUCAAAUAAGCUUAUUUGAGGGAUUCCUCAAUAGAAGCUCUCUGAUUUAGUCAUAUAUCCAUUCUUAGCACUAAAAUUAUAAAUAAAUUCUACAUCAUUUAAUUUCUAUAAACAAACCCAACAAAAACCCAAAAAAUGACAGCUGACUCUAUUGAAUUUAAUUUUGAUUAUUAAAUUACUUUGAUGCCCUAUUGAGUGUUUUGGGCUUUUUUUUUAUGAGGUUUUGGGGUUGGGUUCGUUUUAAGAAAUCAAUGACAGUUUUGUAAUUCAAAAGAAGUUAAAAGCAUUUUUGUUAUGUUGUAAAUGGGCUUUGGGUGUGUUUCUAAACUCCAUUUCAUAUAUGAUUUUUUUUAAAUGUAAAUAAUUUGGGCUCCUAUAUUAGGUAUAAUAGUGAAUCUCCCAAAAAGAAAAGUGAAGUCAAUAUAACUGUUGAUGCCCAAAAAAUCUAGGGAGAUUCACUAUUAUACCUAAGGGCUUUCAUGACUCUACUCUCUAGGAUAAUGAGGUAUUGUUAUCUUCUCAAUACAAAGGCAAAUGAAUGAAAAUUGGAGAAAAGAGACUCGAGCAAAUUAUGUUGUGAUAUUGGAGCAUGAGAUUGAUAGGUACAUCACCGACCCUAUUGAAGAUGUGGUUGACUUAUUCGAUGUUUUAAAGUAGUGGAAAUUGAAUGAGGUUAAGUAUCCGGGUUUGGCACUUAUUGCAAAGGAUGUGCUUGACAUCCCAGUAUCAACGGUGGCUUCAGAAUCAUGUUUUAGCACAGGUGGUUGGAUAGUUAAUUCAUUUCGUGCUUCUUUGACUCCUAAAAUUUUGGAGGCCUUAAUUUGCUCUCAAAAUUGGUUAAGGUCAGGUGACAUAUCCUCUUUAUAAUAUGAGCCAACAAUUCAAGAGAUGAAGUUUUAUGAAUCCAUUGAAUUAGGUAUUUCUUUGUAAUUUUAUAUGCUUUAUUAAUGUAAUUUACAAUUUGUAGGUUUCACUAAUGUUUUAAUGGGUUUUUUUUUAAUUUUAUAUAGAUUUAUGAGUUCAUCCACACCUCCCAAGUCUGCCCCAGCUACUUUUCAAUGUUAGGAGGAAUUUAAUGAAGUUGCAACACUUAGGACUACAUGCUUUUGUGGAGUUUUUGCAUGCUUGUAUUUUGUUUAUAUUUUGCUGCAGUGGGAUUGUAAUUUAUUUUGAAUUUGGAUUGUAAUUUAUAUUUUGCUGAAGUUGAAUAUAAUUUAUUUGCUAAAGUUGGAUUGAUUUUGAUGUGAUAAAAGCUUGGUGGAAGUUUAAAUUUGGGCUUGGCCUAUUUGAUAAUGAACAAAUUGGUAGGUUUGUAAUAUAAUUAAAUUUUGGGCAGGUCUGUAAUAUAAUACAAUUUUGGGCAGAUCUGUAAUAUAAAUAAAAUUAUAUAUUACAAUUUUGGGCUCAUGCCAAAAAUCGAUAAUCGCAAGAACCAAACUGGAAUUGGGCAGGUCUGGGUUGGUUCGGUCUUGCCUAUAAAUCUUUGUCAAAAUCGAACAAAACCGAAUUGAUCUUCAUUUUCAGUUCAAGUUCUAAUUUUAUAAGAAAUCGGCCUGAACCGAACUAUGUCCACCCCUAAUAUCCAUUAAAUUUAGCAUCCACCAUGCCGGUGAAUAAGAUCAAUCAAUUGAUGAUCUAACAUCACUUCUUAAUUCAUUUUGUUCUUGAUAACAUAGAUUCAUAGAUAUAGUUGGUUUGUUUUUUUAGACGAAUAAAUAUAGUUGGUUUAGUAAGACUUCUACUCAACAUUGUUGCCAAUGGUGAAUAUUAUUGGAACAUCCAUGCACCUGGCACAUGGUAGAAUUUUCGCAUAGGAGUUGUAAGGCUUGUAAGGCUUCUGCCCAACAUAGUUGCCUGGUGGAUCAAAGUUGCACCCGAUGAAGGUACCUCCACUGUUGCACCUCACUUUUGCACACCCUACACGAGUUGUGUUACGCCAAAUAACCUGCGUAUAAUGCCCACACACCUUGCCAUCGGCACAAGUGUUAGAGUCGUAGUUAUAGAAGGCCUUCUCUGCCACCCACAUGUUCACGGCAUCCGUGCCCGACAAAUCAGCGGUGCUCAUUACUGACUCUAUCAAUAAUGGAGUGUGCUUGUGAAAUAUAAUACCAAAAAUACUUGAGAGCUUGUGAAAUAUAUUAUCGAUGCAUCUAGAAAACAUAUGAGUUGCUUUGCUAUCAGAAAAAAUAAAAUGAAAAAACGUGUAUGAGUUGACCAGUUAGCGUCUAAAGAAGGCUAACCGUCAAUUUCGGGGAACAAAUUGAUCGCAAACUAUGGAAGACCAGAAAAGAAAAGUAAACUUUGGAAAAUAGGGGAAAGGAAAUUCUUUAUGGACUUUACCAUACCAUGUGUAGUGCGUGUAGUCUGUACGUGUGAAUGAGCUAAUAUGGCUCAAGUCCCACCAUGUUUACAGGAGGGUCGUAAUUGCAAAGAAACAAAACUCCACCCACUAUUACGCUGUACCCUUCCACACCCAAGACAAACCCAAGUGUCCCAAACACACUAAGUUUUGGACUCGUAGUUAUAUAAUUGGGCUUCGGCUCGACCAAGGCUCUCUUGGGCGCUUCUGAAUGUACCAAAUUACAAUUUUCAGCCCAGGCAAAGUCCAUAAACUGAAAUGUCAUUGCCCCAAUUUCCGCGUGUCAUUUAAUAAUUUUCAUGCUUAAAUUGCCAAACAAUGGAAAUAUCAAUUUCUCCUCUUUAAUUUCCGGCUUUUAACCAAAUCCCAAGUUAUUUUCCUCCAUCCAAACGGAGGGUUAAGGAAAAACAAUUCUUGCUACAAGAAUCAUUCUCUCUCUCUCUCUCUCUCUCUCUCUCUCUCUCUCUCCCCCAUUUGUGUACCGUGUCCUAUGAAAGUCAUGAUUUUCGGGGUUUUUAUCACAAAAAGGUACUGGAAAAAUCCGAAAAUUGCUCCUUAAGAAAUAAAAUUUAUUCUUAAAAAAAAAAACCUGAAAUAAAAAAUAAGACCGCAAAUUAACUAAUAGAUGUGGAGGAAAAUGGUUGGUCGGGUUCAGAGUCAGAAAAUUACGAGUAAGGAUCUUGUCCUCACCUCUUAAAAUUACGAGUUAAUAUGGUCAAGUCUCUUUGAGUUUUAGGGAGAGAAGUAUCACUAGCCCAAAAUCAAGAGUUAAUUAGUAUUAAUUAAAGAGAGGUUGAUGACAAUUAAAAAUAAAGAGAAUGAAAUAAAAACUUACAAAAAAUGAAAUAAUUUUUACUUCUUUUUUAUAUAUGUCAUCUCCUCUUAUAAUCAACAGUCACGUAAAAGAAUGUUGGGAGGGUGAGGAGGUAAAUUCGUACACACCCGUUACAUGUAAUCGCCUCUAUCCCCUCUUAUUCUUCUAAUUUCUCAACAACAAAAAUACAAGACCCCCAAACAGGCCUAGUCGAGGUGUGCACGUAUGUUUGUGUGACAUGUAAAUUUAGUGUCUAGUAGGGAUGGUCCUCCUCAUUAUAAGCAGGAUCAUAGUUGCAGAUGACAUAGUUUAGUCCAUUCUUGCACUUUGAAAUGCCACAACCAACUUCGGUGGUUUUGCCCCAAAUCACACCAAGGUAAUGUCCACAUUCGUCUCGGACGCAUUUGUUUAGGUCGUAGUCAUAAAACUCCUUCUCAGUGACCCAAUACUUGGCGGCAGCUGCUCCAGACAUGCCUUCUCCUGAGGCCAAGUUCUCACCAUAAGGCCCCAUUGAGUGCUCCAUGGCGCAGUCAUCAACUCUCUUGUCUGCAUAAUCUUGGGCAUACUUGGCUAGGGUCGCGUUCCAUUUGAGUGGACGGUUGCCGACCUGGGCGCGGGCCUUGUUGUGUUCCUCCACGAAGCCAUCGAUAUCUUCUUUGGAAAGGUCUGCAGAGACAAGAGUGAAGAACAAUGCGACGGAGCAGAUGGCCAGAAGAAGCUUGAUGUUGAACGCCAUUUUGUUUCUCGGUAUGAGAAAGGUCUCGGAUGUUAUUGUAUUAGAGAAUGUUGAAUUGAUAGAGGUUAAUUGAAAGGGCAAAUGAGAUUGUGCAUAUUUAUAUAGUUGAGAGGGUUAAAUAUAGGAUCCUUGAAAAUGGGAGGGUUUCUCAAGUUCUAUAAAUAACCAUGGAGAACAAAUAAGACCUGUGAGAGUGGAUUUUAGAUUCAUAGAAACAGUGUAUUGUCGGACAAUCAAUCUAUACCAUUGAUUAAGUAGGUUUUAUUUUAAUCCUAUAUUACAAUAUAUAAUCAUUACUUAGGUGAGGAUUUUUCGCUGCAAUGACAAACAUUUAGCCUUGCAAUGAGGAUCAAAGUUUUGACUCUCGUCUUCUCUAUCUCAUAAAUAAAGUAGUCGUUACUCCAGAAUGAUAUAAAUGAACUUGUAAUAUGGCCCCUCUGUCAACUUCUUGUGGCUUUUAAAAAUAAAAGGUAAAGCAUUAUGCUUCUUACCAAAAUACAAACAAAUGAAAGAGGAAGCAAAUUAAUUAGACAAAAAGGUCACCUUUCGUUCAUGUAGUUUGAUGAAAUUUUCACUUUUGUUCUUGUAAUUUUAAUUCUAGCAAUUUGACCCAUGUAGUUUGAUAAACACGCGUCUCUUAUGUGGAGGAGUAUUUUGUACCGAAUUUUGGACGAAAUUCACUGGAAAUUUAGAUGGGUCCUUGAAUUGCGAUAGAAUCAAACUACAAAAGUGAAAUGACAAAAUUAAACUACAUGGAUCAAAAUAAAAAAAAAUUCCGACAAAUUACAAGGACCAAAAAUAACUUUUUUUUCCCAAUUAAAUAUGGAUAUAGAGGAAAACGUUUGAAGGGUGUUGCCUCUCUUGGUCUUGCAACAACUUUGGGCUCUCAUAUGCCCGAGUUGCCCCAUAUCAGAUUGGUAUUGUUUGGCCCAUGAAAAACUCUUGCUAGUUUUCUCGGUUUUCAGGCCCAUUGUAGCAAAAAGGAAAUACGUAUGGUUGUUUAGCUUUAUGUUUCUUAGCAAACUAAUGGACAAUUAGUCUUUUAUUAAAAUUACCAGUAGUUUUGGUUGUUGAAUCUCGUGCAAGUUAGGUUGUGGUUGUAUUGGCUGCAAGCGGUGCAAGUUAGGUUGUGGUUGUAUUGGCUGCAAGCGGAACGUAGGCGCUUUAGGUGUGUGUUGACCAUGCACUCUCGCGUCAUGUAAUGUCGUAUGUAUGAUAUUGGUGGUGUGGUAAACCAAUUACUUUUUUGUCUAGUUAUAUUUUUCUUUCCAAUAUUAAAAACAAAAAAAUUCUCAAAUUCGAAUCUUCCCUCACUUAAAGAUUUUAAAAAAAAAAAAAACACAUAGACAUAACUGGAAAAACCAUAGAAAUAAUUAGUGAAAUAUAAUUACAACGAACACAUUCAAAUUUUCAAAAUCUAUAAAGACAUAAGAGAUCCAAGUUCCUACCUAUAAUCACUGCAACCACAAUCUUGACCAAGGGUUUUAAUCCAAAGAAUCUUUGAGAUCUUGAAUAAAGUUAGGUGACAUCUCAACCUUUACGACAAGUGUUCUAUUCUACUUUAUCUCUCCAAUCAUAUGAAGUUCUAAUCUUACUUGAAAUGGUAUAAGAUCAGUCCUUAUCUCUUGGAUUACAGGGGUCCAAGAGAUUUGUGAUCACUUACCGUUGGAUGUAAAUUCAACGAUUCACUCACUCUUGCACUCUUUUGAAGAAACUUUUUUGAACCAUUGCAUUAAUAUCCAAUGGUGGGUGACUACAAUCUCUUGGACUCCUGUGGUCCAAGAAAUCGGGACUCGGUAUAAGAUAUCAUAUAAGAUUUGUUAUAUUUAUAAUGGAAUGGGCUAAAUUUACUUUACGUGAAGGAUGUUGUAUUAGAAAUUUUGGGCUAAGAAAAACCACCACACCUGGGCUAUAGCUCAAGUUAGUCCUUACUAAGGACCAUCCUUGUUUAUUGUACAACCACAAUCAAAUUGGUAUACAAAUCUCAUAUAUACAUAAAGAAACGGUGCAUACAAACAUCAUGAACAAGAAAAUCUUAGGUGGCAUUUGGCAUCCUAUUCAAGUAUGGAAUUCAAAAACUUUUAUUUUUCUUGAAAACAAAGAGUCCUAAAACCCAUUUUUUAAGAUUCAAAAACUUGUUUGGUAUUCAAUGAGGGAACUCAAACUUUAAAAACAAGGAGUUCUGAAAUUCAUGUUUGAAGAUUAAAAAACUUGAUCAGACCAAAAAAAAAAAAAAGAUUAAAAAACUUGUUUGUUAUGCAACUUGAAAACAGUUUCUUUGAAAAAAUUCUAUAAAAUAGAUUUGUUAUAUUUUCAAGUAUUUGGGUGUUUUUGAGUUAUUUUUUAGUUUAGGUUUUCAAAACUAGGUCUCUACCAAACAAAUUUUUUGAGUUUUGGACUUAAAUAAUUUUUCAUUUUUUAUUUUUUGUAAAGUUUCACAAGUUGGAUUCAAAUAGAAUACCAAACAUGCACUUCACAUCCUUUUGAUAUUCCAUUUGUCAAUUAAAGACAAAGGCGAGAUGCAGAGGCAGACGAGAGAGAUUGGCCAAAAAAAAAAAAAAAAAAGAAAGAAAGAAUGAGAAUGACAUAAUAUUUCAGUUAGAAAUUACAGAAAUGAAAUAAUCUUAUUCUUUUUCAUUUUUUGAUUCACUCUUGUCACCUCUCACAAUACCAUAUCAAGUGCUAGUCACGUAAAAAAAUGUUGUGAGUGUGGGGAAGUAUUUGUAUACAUUCGUUACAUUUUAUUUUUCUAAUUUCAGUAAAAGAAAAAAAAAACACAGGACCUCUCAACAGGCCUAAUGUUGGUGUGGUUACGCGCACGUGAGCGUACAUACAUCAUCUAGUGGGGGCGCUCGUCUUCGGGCUGGUACAUGGGAUCGUAGCUGCAAACUACGUAGUUUUGUCCAUUCUUGCACUUUGAAAUGCCACAUCCGACCUUGGUAAUUUUGCCCCAGACCACAGCAAGGUAGUGACCACAUUCGUCUUUGACGCAUUUGUUGGACUUUUCGUCAUAGAACUCCUUCUUGGUGACCCAAUACUUGGUAGCAGCAGCACCGCUCAUGCCGUUGCCAGAGGCCAAGUUCUCACCCCCAACGCCCAAUCAAGGGAUCCAUGGCGCAAUCGUCAACUCUUUUCUCAGCAUAUUCUUGGGCAUACUGGGCUAAGGUCGUGUUCCACUUGAGGGGUUUGUUGCCGACCUCUUUACGAGCCUUGUUGUGCUCCUCGUCGAAGCCAUUGAUCUCUGCUUUGGAAAUGUUUGCAGAGACAACAGUGAAGACCAAUGCGACGCAACGGAUGGCCAAAAGAAGCUUCAUGUUGAACGCUAUUUUUGUUUCUUGAUAUGAGAAGUUUAAGGUUUGUCCUUUAUAUAUAUAUAUAUAUAUAAUUAUUGAAUUAAUAAUUGACACAAAUUAAUGUACUAAUCAUCCAAUUAUAAACUAGGCAUGAGUAAAGAAAAGUAAAUGAAAUGAAACAAAUUAUAUAUGUGAUUUAAGUGAUAUAAUCAUAAACCUAAACUCUUAUUUAUACAUAAUUAUAUAUGUAUCCGGGCCUAAUGGGCUGGGCUAUCGUAGGCUUAAUCGGGCUGGGCUAGGCUUCAGACACCCAAGCCCAAGGCGGGUCGGGCCAUCUCAAAGCCGAUAACGAGUCGGACCGGACUUUUUUUUCGAUGGGCCGGGUGGGACCCUAUCGGCCCAUGAGCCCACAUACCAAAUGAUGAGGCCUAUCUGUGGCUAACACCCUUUGGCCACGAAUUGGCUGUGGUCAAAAUGAUUAUAAGCCACAGGUAAUAUGUGGCUUAUAAGUCCGUUUUCUAGUAGUGACGGUUGUUUAGCCUUAUGUUUCUUACCAAAGUAACGGAUAAUUAGUCCCUUAUUAAAAUUUUGGAUAAACCACUUAGGUUUUUGUCUAGUUGUAUUUUUCUUUCCAAUAUAAGAAGUCUUAAAUUUGAUUCUUCCCUCACUUGAGGACGAAAAAAAAAAAACAUAGACAUAAUUGAUGACAUAUAUUUACAACCAACACAUUCAAAUUUUCAAAAUCUAUAAUGACAUAAAGCAAUCCAAGUUCCUACCUCUAAUCACUGCACCCACAAUCUUGACCAAGUGUUUUAAUCCAAAAAUUCUUUGAGAUCUUGAAUAAAAAGUUCGGUGACAUUUCAACCUUUACCACAAGUGUUCUAUUAUACUUUAGCUUCCAAUCAUAUGAAGUUCUAAUCUGACUUGAAAUGGUAUAAGAUAUCGUACAAGAUUUGUUAUAUUUACUAGCCUCUUGGCACAUGCUCACGCAUGUACCAAUUGGUUUUAUUUUUUAUUUUUUAUUUUAUUUUAUUUUUAAAAAAAACAUGGAUAGUUAUGUUCCACAAAAGUAGGACAUAUUAUAUGAUUUUGUUUUUAAUUUUAAUUUUUUUAAUAUAAAAAUGUGAAUUUACCAGAUUAUCCUCAUUUAAUUAAUAAUUUCAAUUCUUAAUGUUUCAAUUAACUAAGGGUAUUUUCUGGUAUUUUGAAUGUUUCAUCAUUCUCUGCCUUUUGCUUUAUAUAUAUAGAUAAUGAGAUGGACUAAAUUUACCUUACGUGAAUUAUGUGUAAACAAGUAUUAUGUGUAUGCUUCGGUGGGUUGUAUUAUAAAUGUUGGGCUAAGAAAAAAAACCACACAUGGGCUAUAGCCCAAGUUAAUCUUUACUAAGGACCGUCCCUAGUUAUGAUACAACCCACAAUCAAAUUGGUCUACAAAUAUCAGUUCAAAAAAUCUCAUAUAUACAUAAAGAAACGGUGCAUGCAAACACGUGCAUCCAUGAACAAGAAAAUCUUAGGUGGCAAUUGGUAUCUAUUCAAGUAUGAAAUUCAAAAACUUUGAUUUUUCGUAAAAACAAAGAGUUCUAAAAUCAAACUUUUAAGAUUCAAAAACUUGUUUGGUAUUCAAGGAGGGAACUCAAACUUUAAAAACAAGGAGUUCUAAAAUCCAUACUUUAAGAUUAAAAACAAUUUGUCGUAAAAAUUCUUAAAAAACCGAUUUGUUUGGGUUUUAAGUAUUUGUGUGGUUUUGAGUAACUAGGUCUACCAAACAUAUUUUUUGAAUUUUGGACUCAAUUUAUUUUUUUAAAGUUUAAAAAGUUGAAUUCAAAUAAAAUACCAAACAUACACUUAACAUCCUUUCGAUAUCACAUUUGUCGUAUUUUAAAAAAAAAAAAUAAAGACAAAUACGAGAUGGGGAGGCAUUAGACAAUUGAGAUUGAGAAAAAGUAAAAAAAAACAUAAAGAGAAUGAGAUAAUAUUUAGUUAGAAAUUACAAAAAAAGAAAAAAAGGAAAUAAUAUUAUUCUUUUCAUUUUUUAUCCAUUCUCUUGUCACCUCUCACAAUACCAUAUCAAGUAUGGGAGCUCGCAAAAGAAAAAAAAACACGGACCUCUCAACAGGCCUCAUGUAAGUGUGCGUACAUACAUCGUCUAGUAUGGGCGCUCGUCCUCGGGCUGGUACAUGGGAUCGUAGCUGCAAACGAUAUAGUUCUUUCCAUCCUUGCACUUUGAAAUCCCACAUCCGACCUCGGUGGUUUUGCCCCAGAUCACAGCAAGGUAGUGACCACAUUCCUCUUUGACACAUUUGUUGGACUUGGGGUCAUAGAACUCUUUCUCGGUGACCCAAUAUUUAGUGCCAGCUGCGCCGGUCAUGCCGUCGCCCGAGGUCAAGUUCUCACCCCAACGCCCUCUUGAGUGCUCCAUAGCGCAGUCGUCAACUCUUUUGUUGGCAUAUUCUUGGGCAUACUGGGCCAAAGUUGUGUUCCACUUAAGGGGUUUGUUGCCGACCUCUUUACGAGCCUUGUUGUGCUCCUCGAGGAAGCCAUCGAUCUCUGCUUGGGAAAUGUUUGCAGAGACAAGAGUGAAGACCAAUGCGACGCAGUAAAUGGCCAAAAGUAGCUUCGUGUUGAACGCCAUUUUUGUUUCUUGAUAUCAGAAGUUUAAGGUGUUUUCUUUCUAGCAGAGAAGGUUGGAUUGUUAGAUGUUGAUUGAAAUGGGAAAUGAGAUUGUGCAUAUUUAUGUAGUUGGGAGGGUUAAAUAUAGGAUCCUAAAAUGGGAGAGUUUGUUAAGUUCUAUAAACAAGCAUGGAGAACAAAUAAAACUUGUGUGGGAUUGCGUCACCGAGUGGAUUUGGUAUCCAUACAAACAUUGUAUUGUCAAACAAUCAAUCUAUACCAUUGAUUAAGUGAAGUUUUAUUUGAAUCCUAUAAUGAGGUGAGGAUUUUUAGCUGCAAUGACUAAAACAUUUAGCUGUACAUUGAGGAUCAAAGUUUUGACUUUGUUAACGAUAUAAAUGAACUUUGUUAUAUGACCCCUCUGUCAACUUCUUGUGGCUUUUAAAAAUAAAAGGUAAAGCAUUAUGCUUCUUACCAAAAUACAAAGAAAUGAAAGAGGAAGCAAAUUAAUUAGACAAAAAGGUCACCUUUCUUUCAUAUAGUUUGACGAAAUUUUCACUUUUGUUUUUGUAAUUUUAAUUCUAGCAAUUUGAUCCAUGUAGUUUGAUAAACACGCGUCUCUUAUGUGGAGGAGUAUUUUGUAUCGAAUUUUGGACGAAAUUCGCAGAAAAUUUAGAUGGGUCCUUGAAUUGCGAUAGAAUCAAACUACAAAGGUUAAAUUGACAAAAUUAAACUACAUGGACCAAAAAAAAAAAUCUGACAAAUUACACGGACUAAAAAUGACUUUUUUUCCCAAUUAAAUAUGGAUAUAGAGGAAAACGUUUGAAGGGUUUUGCCUCUCUUGAUCUUGCAACCACUUUGGGCUCUCAUCCGCCCGAGUUGCCCCAUAUCAGAUUGGCAUUGUUUGGCCCAUGAAAAACUCUUGCUAGUUUUCUUGGUUUUCAGGCCCAUUGUAGCAAAAAGGAAAUACGUAUGGUUGUUUAGCCUUAUGUUUCUUAGCAAACUAAUGUAUAAUUAGUCUUUUAUUAGAAUUUUGGAUAAACCAAUUACAUUUUUGUCUAGUUAUAUUUUUUUUUCCAAUAUUAAAAACAAAAAAUUCUCAAAUUCGAAUCUUCCCUCACUUAAAGAUUAAAAAAAAUAAACACAUAGACAUAACUGGAAAAACCAUAGACAUAAUUAGUGAAAUAUAAUUACAACGAACACAUUCAAUUUUUCAAAAUCUAUAAAGACAUAAGAGAUCCAAGUUCCUACCUAUAAUCACUGCAACCACAAUCUUGACCAAGGGUUUUAAUCCAAAAAAUCUUUGAGAUCUUGAAUAAAGUUAGGUGACAUCUCAACCUUUACGACAAGUGUUCUAUUCUACUUUAGCUUUCCAAUCAUAUAAAGUUCUAAUCUUACUUGAAAUGGUAUAAGAUAUCAUAUAAGAUUUGUUAUAUUUAUAAUGGAAUGGGCUAAAUUUACUUUACGUGAAGGAUGUUGUAUUAGAAAUUUUGGGCUAAGAAAAACCACCACACCUGUGCUAUAGCCCAAGUUAGUCCUUACUAAGGACCAUCCUUGUUUAUUGUACAACCACAAUCAAAUUGGUAUACAAAUCUCAUAUAUACAUAAAGAAACGGUGCAUGCAAACAUCAUGAACAAGAAAAUUUUAGGUGGCAUUUGGUAUCCUAUUCAAGUAUGGAAUUCAAAAACUUUUAUUUUUCUUGAAAACAAAGAGUCCUAAAACCCAUUUUUUAAGAUUCAAAAACUUGUUUGGUAUUCUAUGAGGGAACUCAAACUUUAAAAACAAGGAGUUCUAUAUUAGUAAGAUCAGUAGCAAACUCGAGGAGGAAGAGGCUGCAUGACACAUAAAUAGAGUAUAAUUAAUUUUUAUUUGUUUAUUGAAUCGAUAAUUUGAUAUUGAUUUGUUUAAUUAAUUGAUAAAUUACCGUCAAUUAGUCAUAGUUAUAGAUAUAAAACCCUUAUUUUGUUUUAAUUAUACAGUUAUACAAUGGUACUUUAAGAGAGAGUUUAAAUCCUCCUUCAAAUAAUUAUACAAUUAUGCAAUUGCUUUAGUUGAGAGAGCUUUGAAUAUUGUGAAAACACCAUUGCCCAACAAAAUAGGGAAUCAAUGGUUGAGUGAUAGUUUGGUUGUUUACAUCGAGAAAGAUGUUUUUUUUUUCCUUAUAUUAGUAACGCAAAUAUAAUGCGACAUUUUCAUGAUAUGAAACCUCGUCAGCAACAAUUGUAGGUUAAUUGUAAUAUUAUUUUUUGUAAUUAAUUAUGAAUAACAUUAGUAUUGUUUAAAUUAUAAGGAUAUUUAGUUGUCUUAGUCUUUAAAAAUUGCACCUCCAUUGAAAAAUUCUUGAGUCUGCCACUGCCCAUCCAAUUAUGCUUCGCCAUGUGGCAUCCUAUUACUCAAGAUGGAACGUAAUUGAUUGAGAAUAACAAAACAGUACUAUCCACGUGGUAUAUAAGUUUUUGUCAGGAAAUCUUUGGUCAAGGAUAGGCAAGUGGGGUUGUAGGAGGCAUGCAUGUGGAAUAUGUAUUGGAAUAUAGUGUGGAAAAUUUUCUUUCAAUAAUUAAUGGUCCUUUUUCCUUGCAUUCAUUUUUCGUCCUUCUGCCUUGAGGGAAAUGGUAGAAAUUGGUUGAAUUGUCAUUGUUGUCCUACAAUUCUUAUAGAGCAUAAUAGACAUUUCAAACUUUUCCUAAAUGGUCUCGGUCAAGAGAUUAUAGUCUUGUUUGUUAGGGAGGACUAGAUUAGACUAGACUAAACUAACAAAAUGUAUAUAUUUCAUGUGCAUUCAAAGCAUAAUAUGGAUAUUUUGCCUAACUUGGAGGAAUAAUGGAGAUUAUCUAUAAGAGGUUGAUUACUAAAACUUAUCCCCCUAAUCCCCUUGAAAAUGGUGGGAUUAUAAGGGAUAAGUUUUAGUCAUCAACCUAUUAUGAAUACUCCUCCUUCAUCCUCCAAGUUGGACAACAAUAUCCAAAUUAUGCAUUGAUUGCACAUAAAAUAUAGAUAUUUUGCUAGUUUAGUCCAAUCUAAUAUAGUGCUUCCUAACAAAUGAGGCUUGUCAUAGAAUAGUACAUAUCUUAACUCCCAAAUAUUUUGUGCAAUGUAAUUGCGUGGGUCGGUAGCAACUAGUUAGCUAGGACUGAGAGGUUUUCCUUGAAUGUUUCAAUUAUAUAUUAUUCUUCAUUAUUGAGUAACUUAAAAUUUCCUAUCAUCAAUUUUAAUUGUAUAUAAUUAUAAAAGGUGAUGUGACGUGAUAAGAGCGAUAGGCAAAAAACUGCAUGUGUCUGCCUAGUUUCUACGAAAUGUUUCUUGCCUCCGUUGUUCAUCAACAGAGAAAUUUCCACAGUAAUUUAUUGUCUUAACCCGGGAAUCCAAAAUUAGAGACGAGUCUACUUCCCUUGACGAGGAAACAUUAAGCGAAAAAUCAAAGUCUGAAGCAUUUCACAAAUAGCAGGACUAACUAGCAGCUAGCAUAUGCAUGCAUAGCUAGUUGCCAAAUUUUAUUCAAAUAUUAAAGUAGCUAGCGUAGUGAGCACCAUGCUAACUUCUAGCUAGUGAACCAUACAAUCAUUCCUUUCAUUUUAUUCUUGAACAGAAAAUAAAAGCUCAAUAGUGGUUUGUUAAAAAGCUUAAUUAAUUUAGUAAGGCCUCUGCCCACGAAUGUUUCCCCGGGGAUCAUAGUUGCACCCAAUAAACGUGCCUCCAUUGGUGCAUCGCGCUUUUGCACACCCUAAACGAACUGAGUUGCGCCAAACCACCUGCGUGUAAUGACCACACAUCUUCCCAGCAGCACAGGUGUUAGAGUUGUAGUCAUAGUCGGGCUUCUCCCCUACGAACAAGUUCACGGCAGCUGUGCCAGACAAGUCACCGGUGCUCUUCGCUAUGUUUUCACCAUAAGGCCCAUUAGAGUGCACUAGAUUGCAAUCACCAGCACGGGAGUUUGCAUAUCUUUGGGCAUAGGCUACUAGGUUGGGGUCCCAGGUCAAGGGAGCAACACCUACCUGGGCUCGAGCGGCGUUGUGGGCAUUGAGGUAGUCUUGUGGUGAGUCUUGGGCACCAGUGGAUUGGAGCAGGGCUAAGCCUAUGAGACAUACGAAGGCAAAGGAAAUCUUAGACAACCCCAUGGUAUUGGUUUGUAGGCUCACAAUGCAAACUAAUAUCUUGAGUGGUUGAUGAAGGAAAUGAGGCAUAUAGCAUGGAGUAUUUAUAAGGAAAGUGUUACGAGGGGACUGUAAUUUUCACUGAGGGCCAACAUUUUAUUUAUGACACAUAUUGAGAGGCCUUACUAGUCAAAGUGAAAGGAAAAUAAACCCCUCCGUGAAUAAGAACUUGAUCCAAGAUUUAGAAUUUAAACCUGACUUGAAAACCUAGAGGAAGAAAAUUUGCUUUGAUUUGGAAAGAGGACCAUCUAACAAAUUUUCUUCUUGUUUGGGUUUUUUAUAUAAAAAAUAUAUAUGUGGUCUCAACUUGUUAGCCUUUGGAUUAUUAUUUACUGUGGUGGCAAGUCUACGAUAAAAAUCAAGCAGAUUAAAGCAGAGAAAAACCAAGCAGAGGAUCCGAAUCUCUAUGUUAUCAUCAAUAAUAAAGAUAUUUGAAUUUGGGACAUCUUUUAAUAUUAAAAAAAAGAUAAAUAGAGAAAACUCUACGAGAGAAAAAAAGUUUCAGCUGUCACCCCUUUUACAGGUCGGUGAUGUAACGACCCGGUCCUAAAUAAAUUGGUAAUUAUUAAUUUAUUCAGAUAAAAUACCAUUUUUGACAGGACCCGACCCAAAUUCCCCUUUGGAAUCCGAGCCGAACCCUGUUCGUGAUCGACACUUGGUGAGUGCCGAGCAUAAAUGACCUGGUUGCCCUUUUGGUUACAAACUUAAUUUCAUUUUAGCCUUGACUUCUAAUGAAAAUUCGGCAGAGUCUUCCCUGUAAUUUGUUCAAUCCCCAAAAUUACAUCUGUCAAGACAAGCAUAUAUAUACAACCCAACUUCCAGCAUGCUUAUAUAUACAAUCAACAAUAAAGUUCGAGCCCAGGGGCAAUAUCAGAGAAUUUAUACAGAUUUAUUUACAAGAAGAACAUUUGGAGGGCCACGGACCCUACACUAAGCUGAAGAGAUGCAGGAAGCGGAAACUGCCCUGUGGUGACUUUCAGAUGCACGUCUACGGCCUGGGGGCGCAAAACCUUUAAAAGGUGAGUGGACCCAAAAACAAAGUUUUAAGAAAAAUAGCAUAAGAACAUACUAACCCCAUUGUAAAAACAGUUAUACAAAACUAAUUCAUUCUUUUAAUCAUAUACAUACUGAAAUCAAUGCACUCAUAUAUAUAUAUAUAUAUAUAUAUAUAAAUAUAUGUCAAGCAUACUCAUAUCAUCUUUAAACUCUUAAAAGCACUGAAAUCAGUUUUAAACUACCACAUAGGAGUACCCUUUUAAUUUUGUCAAUUCUUGAUAUCCGUCACUUCCUGAUAAUUCGUCAAUUCCCCUGGCAGGUCUCGGUGACAUAAAGUCAACUCAAGCCGCAAACUGGCAGGAUUCAGGGGACCGUAGUCAGCCUGAUCCGCAUUCUUGGCUCCCACGGUCCCGGCGUCCCCGAAACUCGUGAGGCAAAUGUCAAGCGCACUGACAAAAUUGAAGGCAAAUUGGAUGUCCGUGGACAUCGUCAUAUCCGAAGGCAACAUAUACCGAAGGCAACCUGGAUGCCCGUGGACAUCGUCUUAUCUGAAGGCAACUUGUUUCUAUAACUGGGUACCUAAGGUGGCUUAAGAAAAUCUAAAAUCUCUGAAACAUAUGAUAAAUAACUGAAUUUCUGUUAAAUCUAAAACUUUACUGGCAUUUAUAUGUUAUUUAGCUAAAAUUUCCUUUUCCUAUAUCCAUAACGGAUAUCUCACUCGGUAGCAUGUGAAUUCAAAACAUUUAAAAGCAUAUAUCAACUAAUAAAACACUAAUCUUUGCAUAAAACUUAUUUAAGAUCAAAUACUGUAGCUGAAUAGCAUAAAUUCAUUUAUGAAAACAAAGAGUCCACUCACAGCUGGUCCGAGUUCGCUGGACCUUUUGGAGGUCCCUCAUGUGGGUCAACUGGUGCCCGGGUGCCUGAUUCAAGUACCAUAAUAAUAUAUAUUAAUAAAACUGCUCGAUAUAAAUAUUUAAAUAAAACCCUGACCCCCAACUCCUAGAAGUGCGUGCAUCCAAUUAAAGUUACUCCUAUGCCCACAUUAACGUUCCCUUAAACCUAGGAUACAAGUCCCAUGAGUCUGGUCUCAAUCGGACGGUUAGUUUGGUCACAAACGCACGAACAAAGGCUCGAACCCAUUGAACCAGCACAAGAUGCAAAAUCCGUUCAGGGUUCAAACGUUAUCCAAAUUAAGAUCCGCGAAUUCCUACACGCUCUUGACAACACAAGGACCAUUCUAGGACUAAGUGUGGUCCCCACCAAAUGGAGGAGAGAAGGUGAUGGGUUAAAAAAAAAACAGGGAGGGGCUGUGGUCGCGAGGAAGAAGAGUGAGGGGAGAGAGAGAGAGUCAGUUUUUAAAAAAAAUCCUAAUUUCAAAAUUAUCAUUUUGCCCUUCUAUGUAUUUUGACUGUAUUUUCUUUGUUACAACUCCGAUUCAAGUCCACUCCGUGUCUACGGACUCGCUUCGUCGCGCUCUACGCACGAGGCAUGUGGAAUAGUCAAAUUCUUUCUCGGUCAAAAAGUCAACUUUUUCUUUACUAGAAUAUUCUAAGGGCAAACGUGUCAUUUCCUUUUAAUAGUUUAAUAGUUAAAUAUUAAUUAAGGUUUGGGUUAUUACAAUUUUGCCCCUAGAAUAUUUUAUUAGGUUUAAAGUUGACUUUUUGAUCGGGAAUGAAUUUGAAAAUUUCAACUGUACCGUUGCGUAGAGCAUGGCAAGAUGAGUCCGUAGACACGUAGUGAGCUUGAAUCGGAGCUGUGACGAAGAAGUGACAAGCAAAACAUCACCAAUGGUACAAUCGUAAAUAUUGAGAAAAAGGUUUGAUAAAAUUUGAUUUUUUCUCUCUCUCGGCGCAGUCUCUCUCCUCUCUCUCGCGACGGUAGUGCCAACCGGCAACAUUUUGGCUAGCCGUCCUCUCGUUCGGCCACCAAAGCUGACGGGGCCGGUACCAAAAUGACCUGGCCACCGUCCUCUUCCAACCCCAGUCCUUCACCGCCUCGGUCUGCCUCCGUUAGUUGGGUUAAGUGAUUAAGUGAGAUUAUGAGAUUAAUUUAUUGUUUGAAACUGGGGAACAGCGGAUGUUUUAUGGUUGUUUGAAGUUUAUGCAAUAUUAGAAUUUGGAAUAUAUGAUUAUUAAGAAGUGAGUGGACAUUUAUUUUAAUAUGCACUAUUUUCAAUGAUUGAAAGAAUAUGCAUGGAUUUGGUAUAUAUAUAUAUAUAUAUAUAUAUAUAUAUAUAUAUAUUUGGAAUAAGGAUUGGGAAAUUUAUAAGUUUCGAUAUGAGUAAUAUGAAAUUGAGAAUUGAAUUUUGAUGUGGGAAGUUAUAUGAUUAUAUUAUGUAUAAGUACAUACUUCCUAUACGUGGCGUUGAAAUUUCCGGCGUAUAGGAAGAAUGUAUGAUUAUGUAAGUCUCACAAGUGACGUUGGAUUUUUCAGUGUGUGAGACACUUCCUAUACGUGGCGUUGGAAUUUCUGGCGUAUGGGAAGAAUGUAUGAUUAUUUAAGUCUUACACGUGGCGUUGGAUUUCCCAAUUUGUGAGACACUUCUCAUACGUGGCGUUGGAUUUUCCGAUGUAUGGGAAGGAUAUGUGAUUUAAUGGUCUCACACGUGGCGUUGAAUUUUCCGGCGUGUGAAACACUUCCCAUACCUGGCGUUGAAUUUUCCGACGUAUGGGAAGGAUAUGUGAUUUGAUGGUCUCAUACGUAGCGUUAUAUUUUUCGGCGUGUGGGACACUUCCCAUACGUGGCGUUGGAUUUUUCGACGUAUGAGAAGGAUAUGUGAUUUGAUGGUCUCACACGUGGCGUUGGAUUUUAUGGCGUGUGAGACACUUCCCAUACGUGGCGUUGGAUUUUCCGACGUAUGGGAAUGAUAUGUGAUUUGAUGGUCUCACACGUAGCGUUGAAUUUUUCGGCGUGUGAAACACUUCCCAUAUGUGACGUUGGAUUUUCCUGCGUAUGGGAAGGAUAUGUGAUUUGAUGGUCUCACAAGUGGCGUUGGAUUUUCCGGCGUGUGAGACACUUCCCAUACGUUGCGUUGGAUUUUUCGGGGUGUGAGACACUUCCCAUACGUAGCGUUAGAUUCUCCGGCUUAUGGGAAGAAUAUGUGAUUAUUAGGUCUCACACAUGGCAUUGAAUUUUCCGGCGUAUUGGAAGAAUAUGUGAUUAUGUAGUCUCACACGUGGCGUUGAAAUUUCCUGCGUGUGAGACACUUCCCAUACGUGGCGUUGGAUUUUCCGGCGUAUAUGAAUAAUAUAUGACUAACAGGUCUCACACGUGGCGUUGGAAUAUUCCGGCGUAUGAGACAUUAUGAUUAUGUUAUUAGCUCAUCACACGUGGCGUUGGAAUAUUCAGCGUGUGAUAGAAUAAUAGGGAGAAGAAAAAGGGAUUAUUUUACUAUAUCGAGGAAAGAGUGAUGCUUAAAAGAAUUAUGUUUGGUGUGUUGUGAUUUAAAUUAAAAAGGGAAAGGAGUAAAUUCUAGAAUGUAUUAUUUUUGUGUUGCUGUAAUGGUUUGUACGUUAUCGGAAUCGGGAUUUUGUGGAAAGAACUACGUGUGGCUUGAUCCCUCAGUAAGAGUACGUAGGUAGCCUGGGGUCCCACUCAGGUGCAGCCGCAGACUAAAUUUUAUUUAUGUUGUUUUAUGGAGAUUGGUUCUGACCUGGUCGUUGGUCCUGAAAUUCGGUUGAAAACGAGAUGCGAUUAAAUAAUUGUUCAUACUCCCGUCUGGCUGAGGGAGGAUUGUGUAAAUGUGUUCUGGUCAAAACAGGCACAAAGCUUGUUUUGGAUUGAUGUACGAUUUGGGCUAAAACCUUAAACUAUUUGCGAUUGCGUUAAGAGGUUAAAACCUCGCAUAUUGGAUAGUUGGGAAAGUUAGAUGAUGUAAAUUUCAUUUGGCAUUCAUAAGUGUGUUUGAGUUUAUUAUUUGCCUUGUUUAAGGUAUGAUUUGGCUUAAGGACUUUGUUGGUAGUUUGGUUUCGGAUCAUUUGAGGGCCGGAUGCCGAUUUUGUGAAUUGCAUGAAAUUAUCUUGUGCAUGCUGCCGGUUGGUGAUAUUAAAUGUGUUUUAUGCAGGUUGAAAUUUUUGGGAAUUGUUCAAUUUACAGGGGAGACUCUGCCAAAAUUUUGGUAGAAAGUCUCGGUCUGUAAUAAGUGGGCCCGACGUCGAUGUGAUGUUGGAAUUUCCACAGGACUCAUCUCGGGUUUCAAGGAAUUCGGGGUGGGUCCUGUCAGGUGACCUCCAUCCCUCUCCUCCUCCCCUUCCUUCCCCUCUUUACGUACCCUCCCAGACAUGUCCCUCCCUUAUCCACCUCUACCCAUCCCCUCCAGGGCCUCCAUCUUAGUUGAGUGUGGUGGCCGCAGAAAAACUUAGUUGAUAAUGUGAUGUGGUAUUGACUUGUUAACUAAAAGUAUUUGAGCCAUAAUAACUAAUUUAUUGGUGUGUAAUAUAUAUAAAUUCUAUUAGAGUGCUACUAUUUCCAUCCACUUAUCCUAUUUUUCUAUCAAUCUUAUCUUCUCACUCAUCAUGUAAAUUUGAAAAAGCACAAUCCUAUUUUUCCACCCAACAUUAUUUCUAAAAUACCCUUUAUAAAUCACCUUAUGUGGUAUGCCAACUCAUCUAAUACAACUAAGUUUUUUUAAUUGUUUUAUUAUUAUAUCCUAAUUAAAGCAAUAAUUACCAAAAAGUCUUUCAAUCCCCCUUUUUCUUCUUCCUCCUCCCCCACACUCUUCCCACAAAAUUUCCAUUAUCGCCAGAUUUCUCACGGGCGCCGCUAAACCCAUCUCGCUCACUCAUUCUUCCAUGACAGUUCCCUUUCUUCACCAUGGCAGUUGUAUCGGAUUUCUCACUGCAACUGCAUCAUUGUUCAUGCCUCUCUCAUCUUCUAUAUUUUCUAGAUCUAUAUAUAAAGAUAAUUGGUUUAGAUAAUUACAUUGUUCUGGGUGUUUGGGAUACAAUAACUAAUAAUUAUAAAACCUAUCAUGAACCGAUUUGUUUUAAGACUUCAACUAAGAAAGUUAUUGAGAUAUUUGUUGUGGUGAUGAAAGAAAAGAUUUUUUCAGAUUUGCAGGAAGAGUUUAGUUGAAUUUUUUGGAUGGUCUAAAGAGGAUAUAAGGUUUCUAUAGGAGUAGCCUUUUGAAUUAUCUAGCCACUCCCCAUCUGAUUAUGCUUCGCCAUGUGAAAUCCUAUUACUCAGGACGAAACGUAAUUGAUUGAGAAUAAUAAAACAGUGCUAUCCACGUGGUAUUGACAAGCAAGUGGGGUUGUAGGAGGCAUGCAUGUGGAGUAUGUAUUGGAAUAUAGUGUGGAAAAUAAUUUUCUUUCAAUAAUUAAUUGUCCCUUUUCCUUGCAUUCAUUUUUCGUCCUUCUGCCCUGAGGGAAAGGGUAUAAAUUGGUUGAAUUGUCAUUGUAGUCCUACAAUUCUUAUAGAGCGUAAUAGACAUUUCAAACUUUUCCUAAAUGGUCUCGGUCAAGAGAUUAUAGGGUUGUUUGUUAGGGAGGACUAGAUUAGACUAGACUAAACUAACAAAAUGACUAUAUUUCAUGUGCAUUCAAAGCAUAAUAUGAAUAUUUUGCCUAACUUGGAGGAAUAAUAGGGACUAUCUAUAAGAGGUUGAUUACUAAAACUUAUCCCCCUAUCCACCUCUACCCAUCCCCUCCUCCAGGCCCUCCAUCUUAGCUGAGUGUGGUGGCCGCAGAAAAACUUGGUUGAUAAUUUGAUGUGGCAUUGACGUGUUAACUAAAAGUAUUUGAGCCAUAAUAACUAAUUUAUUGGUGCGUAAUAUUCAUCAGUUGUAUUAUGUUGUUUCUUUCUGUAAACAUCGAAAUUUCAACAUCUAGAAAGCUAGGAAAUAAUCAAGUCGCCAAGACAUCCCCCUUGACAUUUAUUGGAUUGCCAAACUUUUACUAGUAUUACUACAUUAAAAUUUGCAUAGCGCUUUCACUUUACUUCCAAGAAAGGGAAGAGAAAAGAAAAUAAGAAAUGAAAAACAAAAAACAAGUCAAAAUAUGCAUGAAUGCUCGAUCGCAUGAUUCUCCGAUCUAUGAAUUCUUUUCUAUUUUGCUUUUUAUGAUUUAGGUUUAAUCAGAAGACCAAAAAUAAAAAUACUAAUGGCCAGGAUCCCUUCAGGCACACACUGUGAUCAAUUAAGCCUAUUAGUAAGGCUUCACCCCAACAGAGUUGCCUGCAGGAUCAUAGUGGCAAACGACAUAGGAACCUCCAUAGGCGCACUGGACUUUGGCACACCCAACAAGCCCUGUGUCACGCCAAACGACCUGCGUAUAAUGGCCACACUGCUUCCCAGGGGCGCAGGUGUUGGUCUUGUAAUCAUAAUCGGCCUUCUCCGCCACCCAUUGGUCCACAGCCAAUUUCGCCGUCAAGUCUCCGUCAGGGCUCAUUGCAAGGUUUUCACCAGGGCCUGAAUUCGAGUGCACGAGGUCGCAGUCGCCGGCACGUUGGUUAGCAUAGUUUUUCGCAGAAUCUGCUAGGCCUUCAUCCCAGUCCAAGGUGUCGAGGCCAACCGCCGCUCGCGCCGCGUUGUGGGCUUUCACGUAGUCAUCUGGGGCGUUUUGGGCACGGGCUAACCCUAUUAGGCAAAUUAAAAGUAGGGCUAAUGAGAUCUUGUUCUUGCACAACCCUUCCAUAAUGUUAAUUAGUGGUUAAUUGUAAUAAUCUACAGAUUGUUCUGCUAAAGAGUUUCUUGUUGGAUAUGGAUUGGAAAAUACCUCAUUAUAUAUGUUGGAGAAAAUUAUAUAUGUUGUUAUUUUUGUGGAUGUGAAAAUUAAUUUUGUUUGCAUCAUGUGUAACCAAGGAAGAGCCCUAUAAGUUGCCGAAAUACCCGCACCUUGCAGAACCUAAAAUAGCUAGGCUCCUUUUAAUUGAGGAGGAGCUCCUACUCAAAACAAAUAGAAUUUUGACACUUGACAAAUUCCUUUAACCUUAUUUUUUUGUUUGAACUUGAACAAGUCUCAAACUUUUCCUUGGCCUAAACUUUUGUCAUUUCUAAUUUAAUCAGGGCUGAUGAGAUCUUGUUUUUUUUUAAAUUUAUAAUUAUUUAUAAUUUUUUUUUAGUAUAGGGGAUGAGGGUUGCUCACACACACAUACACAUAAAACUAAGAUGACAUGGGGGUUCGAACCUGAGACCUCUGGUUUGUAAGUGAAAGUCCUUUUCCACUAGGCUAGACUCCGUUAACGAUGAGAUCUUGUUCUUGGGGUGACGGAGACAUUUGUUGAUGGAAAAAUAUUGAGAUGUACGUCUAGUGGUUGGAUCAUUUAGUUAAAUUAGUUUUGUUUGCAUAUGUGUAACAAUGUAAGUGUAACCAAAGAAGAACCCUAUAAGUCGCCAAAACACCCGCCCCUUAAGAACUAAAAUCUUUUGUGCCAUUUGUAUCACCACCAUAAAUAUCAAGAAACUGAAAUUGUUAUUAAUCAGCACCAAAAAAAAAGAAAAAAAAAAAAGACUCCAACUAGUUAAACAAUUGUGUCAAUUUGGUCAAAUAUAGAGACAUUAUUACAGUUACAAAGAACCAUCAUAUUGGCUAUGGAGUAAAAUUGCGGAAAUACGCUCACCUUUCACGAAAAUAAAUGGGAGCCACAAAAUGAACCAUCAUGUCCUGGAAGAAGAUUAGCGACGUUUGUUAUUCCUUUUGUCGGCGUUUGUUAAAUUUUUCGUCUUGAUCUUUUUUGGUCAAUAAAGUCAAGAAACUCUGUGAGUUUUUUUGUGUUUUUUCUUCUCAUAAUUCAAGAAACUUUAUUGAGUUUGUUGGGUGUUCUUAGGGGGGUGUAUUCAAUUAGGAUUCUAGAGCGUUGAAAAAGAUUUUAAAAAUCCGGGUGUAUUCAAUUUGGAUUUAUACAAACUUUUAAAAAGUCUAUAACAGUUUGAGUGUAUUCAAUCUAGACUUGGUUGAACUUAUAAAAUGUCCAUCUAAAUGUGGGUGUAUUCAAUUAGGACUUGGAAAAAGUCUAAAUAAAUUUACCUGUAUUCAAAAGGAGAUAGAUUUGGAAGGAUUUAAUUAAGUGUUGGAGUUUGGAGAAUUUGUAGGUUUUAGGUAUAAAUAAUAAAGGCCAACAUAAGUCUAACCUCCACCCGAAAGAUUUCAUAUGACUUUUUUAUAUAUAUAUUUUUCUCCCUGUGUUAGAAAAUUUUCCAUCGUUUGGAAAACAAUGCACUAAGCCAUGCACUGACCUUGGGUGGUUACAAGCGUCCUGUGUUAAGCAAAGCUCCUCCAUUAGUGAUUUCUUCAAAUCAACCAGUUCGAGUUAUUGGGAGGAAAGCUCGGCUAGAGAUUUUUCGAUCUCCGAUAAGUUCCCCUUGGAUAUCUCUCGGCAUGAAGCCAACAUCAAGGCGGUGGAAGGUUGAGAUAUAUUUCCAUCACCAUAACAUUACUAGAUGAUAGGGCCCUUGCUUUUUGGAUAAAGGGUUGUUUUUUGUUUUGUUUUUUUUAAAUUGAAUUUUUGGACAAAGAGUUUGCUGUUCGUGAACAAAAUCAAAGGGAAAUUUCCAACUAGUGGAAAUAUCGAAGGGAAAUUCAAUUUGAAAUUCAUUGUUUAGGUAUGAAAGUUUCCAACUUGUGGAAAUUUCAAAGGGAAAUUCACUGUUUAGGUAUGAAAGUUUUCAACUCAUGGAAAUUUCAAAGGAAAAUUCAUUGUUGUGCACACAAGUAGAGGAAGAAUUUGGAAAUAAAAAAAAAACAAAAAACAAAAAGGGGAUGGUCGACUAGUGGCUAGGUCAAGAUAGUUUAAAGAAAAUAGUGUUGGGAAGAAAGAGUGAUAAAAGAAAAUAGUAUUGGGAAGUCUAUGCAAAUAUAUCUGAAUUUAUAACAAAAGUUUAUACAAAAGUAUGGAAGUCUAUAAUAAAAGCCUAUAUAAGUUCAUUAAAAAUCCGGGUAAAACAAUAGGAGUUAUACAAUUCCAGGAAAUCUGUCACUUAAAAAAAAUCUUUCACAAUCGUAUACAAUCCUAAUUGAAUACAACCCCCUUAGUCUCUUUAGAAGAGUCAUGCCAGUUCGUGGCUAAUUUUGUCCUUGAUAUCAUUGAAUUAUAUUUGGGAAAUUAUGGCGGUAGAAAUGGGUAUGGAAAAGUUAUUUUCGAGAGUGAUUCUCUCCAGAUCCUUUUCAGCUUUUUUACUGGCUCAAGUCACUAGGGAAGUUUUUACCUAUGUCUGUCAUAUUGCUAAUGGGAUGGCUCCCUUUAUUGUUUAUAUCCUUUGUACUCUUUUUUCACUGUAUCGUCUUUUUAUAAAUUAAAAAUAAAUAAAAUAAAAGGGAGCCACACAAAAUAGUUGGACAUUCCAACAAAAUGCGCAAUACGUUCUUUUGACUGAUGCAAUUUGUUUUGCAAGAGAUUGUUGCUCAACUGAUUAAGAAUAUUUACCCUUGAAUCCUAUGUCCAAGGCUCGAUUCCCCUUAGGGCCCAUUUGGUUCAUGGGAAAGGAGGUUUGGGAAUGAGAAUUCAAUUGUUUUCCCAUAUUUGGUAAGUCCACGCAUGGGAAAUAGUUGCCUGGCACAUGGGAAAGUAGGGGGGAAAGUGAAGCCCUCCUCUUAACUUAAGUUUUGUUUUCCUUCAUCAUGGGAAAGUUUGGAAAAAUAAGCCAACAUUCAAUGCACAAUUUUCAUGAGUAUUUUGUCCAUGAACAAUUUAGAAUUACAAUGUAUCAUUAAAUGCUUUCUUUUUUUAUUUGAUUUAAUAUGGGUAUAAUUGGAAAAUUAUACAAAAUUUGUUUUCCAUUCCUACUUAAAACAAACAUGGGAAAGGAAACAAACGGGACCUUAUCUUAAAAAAGAAAAAAAAAAGAAAAAAAAAAAGAGAGACAACUUUGGACGCAGCAUGCAUAUGUCUCCAGUUUCCAAAAUAAUAAAAAGUCAUUCUUCAUAUCCAUAAAGUUUAGCAUCCACCAUGCAGGUGAAUAAGAUACAAUAGAAUUGAUGAUCUAACAUCACUUCUUAAUUCAUUUUAUUCUUGAUAAUAUAGCUUCAUAGAUAUAGUUGGUUUAGUAAGGCUUCUCCCCAACAUAGUUGCCUGGCGGAUCAUAGUUGCACCCGAUGAAGGUACCUCCACUGUUGCACCUCACUUUUGCACACCCUACACGAGCUGUGUUACGCCAAACAACCUGCGUAUAAUGCCCACACAUCUUGCCAUCGGCACAAGUGUUAGAGUCGUAGUUAUAGUCGGCCUUCUCCGCCACCCACAUGUUCACGGCAUCCGUGCCCGACAAGUCAGCGGUGCUCAUGGCAAGGUUUUCGCCGUAGGGCCCACCAGAGUGGACAAGAUUGCAGUCGCCAAUGUGUUGAUUGGCAUAGUCUUGCGCAUAGCCCUGUAGCUUCUCAUCCCAUGACAAUGGCCCGACGUUUACCGCCGCUCGAGCGUUGUUAUGGGCAGUGACGUAGUCUUGUGGUGUGUCUUGGGCAUGAGUGGAUUGGAGAAGGGCAGAGCCUAAAACACAAACGAGGGCUAGUAAAAUCUUGGACAGCCCCAUGUUGGGUUUUGAGAGUUUGAUAAUGUAUGAAGGAGUUUUUUGUUGCGAGAACGAUGCAUAUGGUGUGGGGUAUUUAUAAUGGAAAAUGUGGAAAUUUAUAUGCGUUACCAUGCAAGAGCGUUCCUAAUACGUUACUGACUCUAUCAAUAAUGGAGUGUGCUUGUGCAAUAUAAUAUCAAAAUACUUGAGAGCUUGUAAAAUAUAUUAUCGAUGCAUCUAGAAAACAUAUGAGUUGCUUUGCCAUCAGAAAAUAAAAAAUAAAAAAACGUAUGAGUUGAUCAGUUAGCUAGGUCUAACUAAGGCUAACCGUCAAUUUCGGGGAAUAAAUUGAUGGCAAACUUUGGAAGACAAGAAAAGAAAAGUAAAUUUUGGAAAAUAGGGGAAAGGAAUAUGAAGUAUAUACCAUACCAUGAUUGCUUUGGAAAAUCCUUUAUGGACUUUACCAUACAAUGUGUAGUGCGUGUACUUGUACGGGUCUUGAAAAAGAAAGAGAUAUUUAGUCAUAUAUCCAUUCUUAGCACUAAAAUUAUAAAUAAAUUAUACAUCAUUUAAUUUCUAUAAACAAACCCAACAAAAACCCAAAAAAUGACAGCCGACUCUAUUGAAUUUAAUUUUAAUUAUUAAAUUACUUUGAUGCCCUAUUGAGUGUUUUGGGCUUUUUUAUGAGGUUUUGGGGUUGGGUUCAUUUUAAGAAAUCAAUUACAGUUUUGUAAUUCAAAAGAAGUUAAAAGCAUUUUUGUUAUGUUGUAAAUCGGCUUUGGGUGUGUUUCUAAACUCCAUUUCAUAUAUGAUUUUUUUUUAAUGUAAAUAAUUUGGGCUCUUAUAUUGGGUAUAAUAGUGAAUCUCCCAAAAGGAAAAGUGAAGUCAAUAUAACUGUUGAGGCCCAAAAAAUCUAAGGAGAUUCACUAUUAUACCUAAGGGCCUUCAUGACUCUACUCUCUAGGAUAAUGAGGUAUUGUCAUCUUCUCAAUACGAAGGCAAAUGAAUGAAAAUUGGAGAAAAGAGACUUGAGCAAAUUAUGUUGUGAUAUUGGAGCAUGAGAUUGAUAGGUACAUCACCGACCCUAUUGAAGAUGUGGUUGACUUAUUCGAUGUUUUAAAGUGGUGGAAAUUGUAUGAGGUUAAGUAUCCGGGUUUGGCACUUAUUGCAAAGGAUGUGCUUGCCAUCCCAGUAUCAACGGUGGCUUCAGAAUCAUGUUUUAGCACGGGUGGUUGGAUAGUUAAUUCAUUUCGUGCUUCUUUGACUCCUAAGAUUGUGGAAGCCUUAAUUUGCUCUCAAAAUUGGUUAAGGUAAGAUGACAUAUCCUCUUUAUAAUAUGAGCCAACAAUUCAAGAGAUGAAGUUGAAUUAGGUAUUUCUUUGUAAUUUUAUAUGCUUUAUUAGUGUAUUUUACAAUUUGUAGGUUUCACUAAUGUUUUAAUGGGUUUUUUUAAUUUUAUAUAGAUUUAUGAGUUCAUCCACACCUCCGAAGUCUGCCCCAGCUACUUUUUAAUGUUAGGAGGAAUUUAAUGAAGUUGCAACACUUAGGACUACAUGCUUUUGUGGAGUUUUUGCAUGCUUGUAUUUUGUUUAUAUUUUGCUGCAGUGGGAUUGUAAUUUAUUUUGAUGAAUUUGGAUUGUAAUUUAUUUUUUGCUAAAGUUGGAAUAUAAUUUAUAUUUGUUGAAGUUGGAUUGAUUUUGAUGUGUUAAAAGCUUGGUGGAAGUUUAAAUUUGAGCUUGGCCUAUUUGAUAAUGAACAAAUUGGUAGGUUUGUAGUAUAAUUAAAUUUUGGGCAGGUCUGUAAUAUAAUACAAUUUUGGGCAGAUCUGUAAUGAAAUAAAAUUAUAUAUUACAAUUUUGGGCUCAGGCCAAAAAUCAAAAAUCGCAAGAACCAAACUGGAAUUGGGCAGGUCUGGGUUGGUUCGGUCUUGCCUAUAAAUUUUUGUCAAAACCAGACAAAACCGAAUUGGUCUUCAUUUUCAAUUCAAGUUUUAAUUUUAUAAGAAAUCGGCCUGAGCCGGACCAUACUCACCCUUAAUAUCCAUUAAGUUUAGCAUCCACCAUGCCGGUGAAUAAGAUCAAUGAAUUGAUGAUCUAACAUCACUUCUUAAUUCAUUUUGUUCUUGAUAACAUAGCUUCAUAGAUAUAGUUGGUUUGUUUUUUUAGACGAAUAAAUAUAGUUGGUUUAGUAAGACUUCUACUCAACAUUAUUGCCAAUGGUGAAUAUUAUUGGCGCAUCCAUGCACCUGGCACAUGGUAGAAUUUUUGCAUAGGAGUUGUAAGGCUCGUAAGGCUUCUCCCCAACAUAGUUGCCUGGCGGAUCAUAGUUGCACCCGAUGAAGGUACCUCCACUGUUGCACCUCACUUUUGCACACCCUACACGAGCUGUGUUACGCCAAACAACCUGCGUAUAAUGCCCACACACCUUGUCAUCGGCACAAGUGUUAGAGUCGUAGUUAUAGUCGGCCUUCUCCGCCACCCACAUGUUCACGGCAUCCGUGCCCGACAAGUCAGCGGUGCUCAUGGCAAGGUUUUCGCCGUAGGGCCCACCAGAGUGGACAAGAUUGCAGUCGCCCAUGUGUUGAUUGGCAUAGUCUUGCGCAUAGGCUUGCAGCUUCUCAUCCCAUGACAAUGGCUCGACGUUAACCGCUGCUCGAGCGAUGUUGUGGGCAGUGAGGUAGUCUUGCGGUGCGUCUUGGGCAUGAGUGGAUUGGAGAAGGGCAGAGCCUAAAACACAAACGAGGGCUAGUAAAAUUGUGGACAGCCCCAUGUUGGGUUUUGAGAGUUUGAUAAUGUAUGAAGGAGUUUUUUGUUGCGAGAACGAUACAUAUAGUGUGGGGUAUUUAUAAUGGAAAAUGUGGAAAUUUAUGUGCGUUACUAUUCAAGAGCGUUCCUAAUACGUUACUGACUCUUAUCAAUAAUGGAGUGUGCUUGUGAAAUAUAAUAUCAAAAAUACUUGAGAGCUUGUGAAAUAUAUUAUCGAUGCAUCUAGAAAACAUAUGAGUUGCUUUGCUAUCAGAAAAAAUAAAAUGAAAAAACGUGUAUGAGUUGACCAGUUAGCGUCUAAAGAAGGCUAACCGUCAAUUUCGGGGAACAAAUUGAUCGCAAACUAUGGAAGACCAGAAAAGAAAAGUAAACUUUGGAAAAUAGGGGAAAGGAAAUUCUUUAUGGACUUUACCAUACCAUGUGUAGUGCGUGUAGUCUGUACGUGUGAAUGAGCUAAUAUGGCUCAAGUCCCACCAUGUUUACAGGAGGGUCGUAAUUGCAAAGAAACAAAACUCCACCCACUAUUACGCUGUACCCUUCCACACCCAAGACAAACCCAAGUGUCCCAAACACACUAAGUUUUGGACUCGUAGUUAUAUAAUUGGGCUUCGGCUCGACCAAGGCUCUCUUGGGCGCUUCUGAAUGUACCAAAUUACAAUUUUCAGCCCAGGCAAAGUCCAUAAACUGAAAUGUCAUUGCCCCAAUUUCCGCGUGUCAUUUAAUAAUUUUCAUGCUUAAAUUGCCAAACAAUGGAAAUAUCAAUUUCUCCUCUUUAAUUUCCGGCUUUUAACCAAAUUCCAAGUUAUUUUCCUCCAUCCAAACGGAGGGUUAAGGACUCUCUCUCUCUCUCUCUCUCUCUCUCUCUCUCUCUCUCUCUCUCUCUCUCUCUCUCUCUCUCUCUCCCAUUUGUGUACCGUGUCCUAUGAAAGUCAUGAUUUUCGGGGUUUUUAUCACAAAAAGGUACUGGAAAAAUCCGAAAAUUGCUCCUUAAGAAAUAAAAUUUAUUCUUAAAAAAAAAAACCUGAAAUAAAAAAUAAGACCGCAAAUUAACUAAUAGAUGUGGAGGAAAAUGGUUGGUCGGGUUCAGAGUCAGAAAAUUACGAGUAAGGAUCUUGUCCUCACCUCUUAAAAUUACGAGUUAAUAUGGUCAAGUCUCUUUGAGUUUUAGGGAGAGAAGUAUCACUAGCCCAAAAUCAAGAGUUAAUUAGUAUUAAUUAAAGAGAGGUUGAUGACAAUUAAAAAUAAAGAGAAUGAAAUAAAAACUUACAAAAAAUGAAAUAAUUUUUACUUCUUUUUUAUAUAUGUCAUCUCCUCUUAUAAUCAACAGUCACGUAAAAGAAUGUUGGGAGGGUGAGGAGGUAAAUUCGUACACACCCGUUACAUGUAAUCGCCUCUAUCCCCUCUUAUUCUUGUAAUUUCUCAACAACAAAAAUACAAGACCCCCAAACAGGCCUAGUCGAGGUGUGCACGUAUGUUUGUGUGACAUGUAAAUUUAGUGUCUAGUAGGGAUGGUCCUCCUCAUUAUAAGCAGGAUCAUAGUUGCAGAUGACAUAGUUUAGUCCAUUCUUGCACUUUGAAAUGCCACAACCAACUUCGGUGGUUUUGCCCCAAAUCACACCAAGGUAAUGUCCACAUUCGUCUCGGACGCAUUUGUUUAGGUCGUAGUCAUAAAACUCCUUCUCAGUGACCCAAUACUUGGCGGCAGCUGCUCCAGACAUGCCUUCUCCUGAGGCCAAGUUCUCACCAUAAGGCCCCAUUGAGUGCUCCAUGGCGCAGUCAUCAACUCUCUUGUCUGCAUAAUCUUGGGCAUACUUGGCUAGGGUCGCGUUCCAUUUGAGUGGACGGUUGCCGACCUGGGCGCGGGCCUUGUUGUGUUCCUCCACGAAGCCAUCGAUAUCUUCUUUGGAAAGGUCUGCAGAGACAAGAGUGAAGAACAAUGCAACCGAGCAGAUGGCCAGAAGAAGCUUGAUGUUGAACGCCAUUUUGUUUCUCGGUAUGAGAAAGGUCUCGGAUGUUAUUGUAUUAGAGAAUGUUGAAUUGAUAGAGGUUAAUUGAAAGGGGAAAUGAGAUUGUGCAUAUUUAUAUAGUUGAGAGGGUUAAAUAUAGGAUCCUUGAAAAUGGGAGGGUUUCUCAAGUUCUAUAAAUAACCAUGGAGAACAAAUAAGACUUGUGAGAGUGGAUUUUAGAUUCAUAGAAACAGUGUAUUGUCGGACAAUCAAUCUAUACCAUUGAUUAAGUAGGUUUUAUUUUAAUCCUAUAUUACAAUAUAUAAUCAUUACUUAGGUGAGGAUUUUUAGCUGCAAUGACAAACAUUUAGCCUUGCAAUGAGGAUCAAAGUUUUGACUCUCGUCUUCUCUAUCUCAUAAAUAAAGUAGUCGUUACUCCAGAAUGAUAUAAAUGAACUUGUAAUAUGGCCCCUCUGUCAACUUCUUGUGGCUUUUAAAAAUAAAAGGUAAAGCAUUAUGCUUCUUACCAAAAUACAAAGAAAUGAAAGAGGAAGCAAAUUAAUUAGACAAAAAGGUCACCUUUCGUUCAUGUAGUUUGAUGAAAUUUUCACUUUUGUUCUUGUAAUUUUAAUUCUAGCAAUUUGACCUAUGUAGUUUGAUAAACACGCGUCUCUUACGUGGAGGAGUAUUUUGUACCGAAUUUUGGACGAAAUUCGCUGGAAAUUUAGAUGGGUCCUUGAAUUGCGAUAGAAUCAAACUACAAAAGUUAAAUGACAAAAUUAAACUACAUGGAUCAAAAUAAAAAAAAAUUCCAACAAAUUACACGGACCAAAAAUGACUUUUUUUCCCAAAUAAAUAUGGAUAUAGAGGAAAACGUUUGAAAGGUUUUGCCUCUCUUGGUCUUGCAACAACUUUGGGCUCUCAUCUGCCCGAUUUGCCCCAUAUCAGAUUGGCAUUGUUUGGCCCAUGAAAAACUCUUGCUAGUUUUCUCGGUUUUCAAGCCCAUUGUAGCAAAAAGGAAAUACAUAUGGUUGUUUAGCCUUAUGUUUCUUAGCAAACUAAUGGAUAAUUAUUCUUUUAUUAAAAUUUUGGAUAAACCAAUUACAUUUUUGUCUAGUUAUAUUUUUCUUUCCAAUAUUAAAAACAAAAAAAAUUCUCAAAUUCGAAUCUUCCCUCACUUAAAGAUUUUUUUUUAAAAAAACACAUAGACAUAACUGGAAAAACCAUAGAAAUAAUUAGUGAAAUAUAAUUACAACGAACACAUUCAAAUUUUUAAAAUCUAUAAAGACAAAAGAGAUCCAAGUUCCUACCUAUAAUCACUGCAACCACAAUCUUGACCAAGGGUUUUAAUCCAAAGAAUCUUUGAGAUCUUGAAUAAAGUUAGGUGACAUCUCAACCUUUACGACAAGUGUUCUAUUCUACUUUAUCUCUCCAAUCAUAUGAAGUUCUAAUCUUACUUGAAAUGGUAUAAGAUCAGUCCUGAUCUCUUGGACUACAGGGGUUCAAGAGAUUUGUGGUCACUCACCGUUGGAUGUAAAUUCAACGGUUCACUCACUCUUGCACUUCUUUGAAGAAACUUUUUUGAACCAUUGGAUUAAUAUCUAACGGUGGGUGACCACAAUCUCUUGGUCUCCUGUGGUUCAAGAGAUCAGGACUCGGUAUAAGAUAUCAUAUAAGAUUUGUUAUAUUUAUAAUGGAAUGGGCUAAAUUUACUUUAAAUUUACUUUACGUGAAGGAUGUUGUAUUAGAAAUUUUGGGCUAAGAAAAACCACCACACCUGGGCUAUAGCUCAAGUUAGUCCUUACUAAGGACCAUCCUUGUUUAUUGUACAACCACAAUCAAAUUGGUAUACAAAUCUCAAUUCAACAAAUCUCAUAUAUACAUAAAGAAACGGUGCAUGCAAACAUCGUGAACAAGAAAAUCUUAGGUGGCAUUUGGUAUCCUAUUCAAGUAUGGAAUUCAAAAAUUUUUAUUUUUCUUGAAAACAAAGAGUCCUAAAACCCAUUUUUUAAGAUUCAAAAACUUGUUUGGUAUUCAAUGAGGGAACUCAAACUUUAAAAACAAGGAGUUCUAAAAUCCAUGUUUGAAGAUUAAAAAACUUGAUCAGACCAAAAAAAAAAAAAAAAGAUUAAAAAACUUGUUUGUUAUGCAACUUGAAAACAGUUUCUUUGAAAAAAAUUCUAUAAAAUAGAUUUGUUAUAUUUUCAAGUAUUUGGGUGUUUUUGAGUUAUUUUUUAGUUUAGGUUUUCAAAACUAGGUCUCUACCAAAUUUUUUUUUUGAGUUUUGGACUUAAAUAAUUUUUUAUUUUUUAUUUUUUGUAAAGUUUCACAAGUUGGAUUCAAAUAGAAUACCAAACAUGCACUUCACAUCCUUUUGAUAUUCCAUUUGUCAAUUAAAGACAAAGGCGUGAUGCAGAGGCAGACGAGAGAGAUUGACAAAAAAAAAAAAGAACGAGAAUGAGAUAAUAUUUCAGUUAGAAAUUACAAAAAUGAAAUAAUCUUAUUCUUUUUCAUUUUUUAUUCACUCUUGUCACCUCUCACAAUACCAUAUCAAGUGCUAGUCACGUAAAAAAAUGUUGUGAGUGUGGGGAAGUAUUUGUAUACAUUCGUUACAUUUUAUUUUUCUAAUGUCAGUAAAAGAAAAAAAAAAAACACUGGACCUCUCAACAGGCCUAAUGUUGGUGUGGUUACACGCACGUGAGCAUACAUACAUCAUCUAGUAGGGGCGCUCGUCCUCGGGCUGGUAUAUGGGAUUGUAGCUGCAAACUACGUAGUUUUGUCCAUUCUUGCACUUUGAAAUGCCAUAUCCGACCUCGGUGAUUUUGCCCCAGACCACAGCAAGGUAGUGACCACAUUCGUAUUUGACGCAUUUGUUGGACUUUUCGUCAUAGAACUCCUUCUCGGUGACCCAAUACUUGGUAGCAGCUGCACUGCUCAUGCCGUUGCCAGAGGCCAAGUUCUCACGCCAACGCCCAAUCGAGUGCUCCAUGGCGCAAUCGUCAACUCUUUUCUCGGUAUAUUCUUGGGCAUACUGGCCUAAGGUUGUGUUCCACUUGAGGGGUUUGUUGCUGACCUCUUUACGAGCCUUGUUGUGCUCCUCGUCGAAGCCAUUGAUCUUUGCUUUGGAAAUGUUUGCAGAUUGUUGUGCUCCUCGUCGAAGCCAUUGAUCUCUGCUUUGGAAAUGUUUGCAGAGACAACAGUGAAGACCAAUGCGACGCAACAGAUGGCCAAAAGAAGCUUCAUGUUGAACGCUAUUUUUGUUUCUUGAUAUGAGAAGUUUAAGGUUUGUCCUUUAUAUAUAUAUAAUUGUUGAAUUAAUAAUUGACACAAAUUAAUGUACUAAUCAUCCAAUUAUAAACUAGGCAUGAGUAAAGAAAAGUAAAUGAAAUGAAUAUAUGUGAUUUAAGUGAUAUAAUCAUAAACCUAAACUCUUAUUUACAAAAUUAUAUAUGUAUCCGGGCCUAAUGGGCCGGGCUAUCUUAGGCUUAAUCGGGCUGGGUUAGGCUUCAGACACCCAAGCCCAAGCUAAGCCCAGCCCAAGACGGUCGGGCCAUCUCAAAGCCAAUAAUGAGUCGGACCGGACUUUUUUUUAAUGGGCUUGGUGGGCCCCCAUUGGCCCAUGAGCCCACAUACCAAAUGAUGAGGCCUAUCUAUGGCUAACACCCUUUGACCACAAAUUGGCUGUGGUCAAAAUGAUUAAAAGCCACAGGUAAUAUGUGGCUUAUAAGUUCGUUUUCUAGUAGUGACGAUUGUUUAGCCUUAUGUUUCUUACCAAAGUAAUGGAUAAUUAGUCCCUUAUUAAAAUUUUGGAUAAACCAGUUAGGUGUUUGUCUAGUUGUAUUUUUCUUUCCAAUAUAAGAAGUCUUAAAUUUGAUUCUUCCCUCACUUGAAGACGAAAAAAAAAACAUAGACAUAAUUGAUGACAUAUAUUUACAACCAACACAUUCAAAUUUUCAAAAUCUAUAAUGACAUAAAGCAAUCCAAGUUCCUACCUCUAAUCACUGCACCCACAAUCUUGACCAAGUGUUUUAAUCCAAAAAUUCUUUUAGAUCUUGAAUAAAAAGUUAGGUGACAUUUCAACCUUUACCACAAGUGUUCUAUUAUACUUUAGCUUCCAAUCAUAUGAAGUUCUAAUCUGACUUGAAAUGGUAUAAGAUAUCGUACAAGAUUUGUUAUAUUUACUAGCCUCUUGGCACAUGCUCACGCAUGUACCAAUUGGUUUUAUUUUUUAUUUUUUAUUUUUUUAUUUUUAAAAUAAAAAAAACAACAUGGAUAGUUAUGUUCCACAAAAGUAGGACAUAUUAUAUGAUUUUGUUUUUAAUUUUAAUUUUUUUAAUAUAAAAAAUGUGAAUUUACCAUAUUAUCCUCAUUUAAUUAAUAAUUUUAAUUCUUAAUCUUUCAAUUAACUAAGGGUAUUUUAUGGUAUUUUGAAUGUUUCACCAUUCUCUGACUUUUGCUUGAUAUAUAUAGAUAAUGAGAUGGACUAAAUUUACCUUACGUGAAUUAUGUGUAGGCUUCGGUGGGUUGUAUUAUAAAUGAUGGGCUAAGAAAAAAAACCACACAUGGGCUAUAGCCCAAGUUAAUCUUUACUAAGGACCGUCCCUAAUUAUGAUACAACCCACAAUCAAAUUGGUCUACAAAUAUCUGUUCAAAAAAUCUCAUAUAUACAUAAAGAAACAGUGCAUGCAAACACGUGCAUCCAUGAACAAGAAAAUCUUAGGUGGCGAUUGGUAUCUAUUCAAGUAUGAAAUUCAAAAACUUUGAUUUUUCGUAAAAACAAAGAGUUCUAAAAUCAAACUUUUAAGAUUAAAAAAUUUGUUUGGUAUUCAAGGAGGGAACUCAAACUUUAAAAACAAGGAGUUCUAAAAUCCAUACUUUAAGAUUAAAAAUAAUUUGUCGUAAAAAUUCUUAAAAAACCGAUUUGUUUGGGUUUUAAGUAUUUGUGUGGUUUUGAGUAACUAAGUCUACCAAACAUAUUUUCUGAAUUUUGGACUCAAUUUAUUUUUUUAAAGUUUAAAAAGUUGAAUUCAAAUAAAAUACCAAACAUACACUUAACAUCCUUUCGAUAUCACAUUUGUCGUAUUUUUCAAACAAAAUUAAAGACAAAUACGAGAUGGGGAGGCAUUAGACAAUUGAGAUUGAGCAAAAAUAAAAAAAAACAUAAAGAGAAUGAGAUAAUAUUUAGUUUCAAAUUACAAAAAAAAUGAAAUAAUAUUAUUCUUUUCAUUUUUUAUCCAUUCUCUUGUCACCUCUAGUAUGGGCGCUCGUCCUCGGGCUGGUACAUGGGAUCGUAGCUGCAAACGAUGUAGUUCUUUCCAUCCUUGCACUUUGAAAUGCCACAUCCGACCUCGGUAGUUUUGCCCCAGAUCACAGCAAGGUAGUGACCACAUUCCUCUUUGACACAUUUGUUGGACUUGGGGUCAUAGAACUCUUUCUCGGUGACCCAAUAUUUAGUGCCAGCUGCGCCAGUCAUGCCGUCACCCGAGGUCAAGUUCUCACCCCAACGCCCUCUUGAGUGCUCCAUAGCGCAGUCGUCAACUCUUUUGUUGGCAUAUUCUUGGGCAUACUGGGCCAAGGUUGUGUUCCACUUAAGGGGUUUGUUGCCGACCUCUUUACGAGCCUUGUUGUGCUCCUCGAGGAAGCCAUCGAUCUCUGCUUGGGAAAUGUUUGCAGAGACAAGAGUGAAGACCAAUGCGACGCAGCAAAUGGCCAAAAGUAGCUUCGUGUUGAACGCCAUUUUUGUUUCUUGAUAUCAGAAGUUUAAGGUGUUUUCUUUCUAGCAGAGAAGGUUGGAUUGUUAGAUGUUGAUUGAAAUGGAAAUGAGAUUGUGCAUAUUUAUGUAGUUGGGAGGGUCAAAUAUAGGAUCCUAAAAUGGGAGAGUUUGUUAAGUUCUAUAAACAAGCAUGGAGAACAAAUAAAACUUGUGUGGGAUUCCGUCACCGAGUGGAUUUGGUAUCCAUACAAACAUUGUAUUGUCAAACAAUCAAUCCAUACCAUUGAUUAAGUGAAGUUUUAUUUGAAUCCUAUAAUGAGGUGAGGAUUUUUAGCUGCAAUGACUAAAACAUUUAGCUGUACGUUGAGGAUCAAAGUUUUGACUUUGUUAACGAUAUAAAUGAACUUUGUUAUAUGGCCCCUCUGUCAACUUCUUGUAGCUUUUAAAAAUAAAAGUUUAAUGCAUUAUGCUGCUUUCCGAAAUAUAAAGAAAUGAAAGAGGAAGCAAAUUAGUUAGGCAAAAACUCACUUUUCAUCUAAUUUGAUGAAAUUUCCAUGUUUGUCCCUAUAGUUUCAAUUCUAGAAAUUUGACCUAUGUAGUUUGAUUUUAUUGCAAUUUAAAGGAUAUUUCCAAAUUUCCGUCCGAUUUCUUGAUGGAAAAAACACUUGCUCAUACAUGGAGGAGUAUUUUGGAUGGAAAUUUGGAUUUGUCUUUGAAUUGUGAUAGAAUCAAACUACAUUGAUUAAAUUGAUAAAAUUAAAAUUACAUGUGAUAGAAUCAAACUACAUUGAUUUAUUUGACAAAAUUAAAAUUACAUGGACCAAAGUAAAAAAAUCGGGCAAACCACAAGGACCAAAAGUGACAUUAUUUCAAUUAAUUAUGGAUAUAGAGGAAAACGUUUCUCGUGUUUGACAUCUCUUGAUCUUGCAACAACUUUGGGUUCUCAUCCGCUCGAAUUGCCUAGAUCUGGUUGGCAUUGUUUGGGCGAUGAAAAACUCAAGCUAUUUUCUGUAAUACCCUUAAAAAUUAAAGGUGGACUUUCAUAUUUCAGUGAAAAAUAAUACUAUAGUGGAGAAUGAUUAUGGGUAUUUUAUUAAGUAAUUUUGGAUUGAGACUACUCGAUUAAGUGUGUUUAAUUUCAAGUUGGACAUAAAUGCCUUUACAUAACAUUUUGUGAAUUUUUCAAAGCACAUUUAAGAAAUUGAAGUGAGACCAUUCUGAUUCUUAGGUCGGAUGAUAGUAGUCGACCCAAUGAACAUGUAGGAAAUCAUUUCUGCAAUUUUUUCCAAAAUGACCAACAAUACCCCUAUGUGUGAAAAUUACCAAAAUACCCUUGUGGACCCCAAAAAAAAAAGUGUAGGGCAUCAGCCCACUCUCCACCCAAUGUUCCCCAUUGCCUCAAGUUUUUAAAUCAAUAAUCAUUUUGGGGAUGAGUUGGUAUAGGUGAGUUAUUAGCUUAAGGUGUGAGUUGGGAGGCUACUAGAGGGUGAGUCAUCGAGGAUAAGAUUCCCCAAUGAUGAAUCUGAUUUCUUUUAGAGCUAAGUGAGUUUANNNNNNNNNNNNNNNNNNNNNNNNNNNNNNNNNNNNNNNNNNNNNNNNNNNNNNNNNNNNNNNNNNNNNNNNNNNNNNNNNNNNNNNNNNNNNNNNNNNNGAGAGAGAGAGAGAGAGAGAGAGAGAGAGAGAGAGAGAGAGAGAGAGAGAGAGAGAAGAAGAAGAAGAAGAGGAGGAGGAGGAAGAGAAGACUUGGAAAUAAGAGAGAUGUUAUUACUAUUACAUCCAUGAGAGAAUUAAGAAAGAAAAUGUGAGAGGUAGAAAAGAAAAUGGUGAAACAAUUGGAAGGAUGAAAUGUGGGACUCUUGUUCUAAGUUCAUUUUCAAUCCUUGAGUUUUGGUAUAAUUAAUUGUUUGAGCAGAUUUAUAGUUGUAACUGAGUUUGAGAAUGAUUUAUGAACCUUCCGAGGCAUAAGAAAAUCAAAGAAGAAUUUUGAAAUCAAGAUUUUCGGAUUUUGGGUGUGUUGACAAAAGUUUUGGGUUUGGGUGUUCAAACUUUAGAUACAAAUCUUGUUUUUGGGAAGCUUAGGUCAAGGAAAUGAUGUUGGAGUAUAAUUUCGAGUCUUAAGGAUGAUAUUUGAGGUGUUUACAGAGACUCUUGAUAAAAUUCUGAAACUUCGUAUUUUUUUGGAAAUUUCAUUUCAUGGGCCUUACUUUGGCUCUCAUGUUCCUCUGAUUUAUGAAGUAUUUUUGAAAGGUUUUUCAUGUUUUGGAAACUAGGAGUAGCAAGGGUCAAAACCCUUUCGAUUUCACUGAUUUUGUUUAAGUUUUGGGGGACUAAAUAUUGGAGUGAAGUUAGGUUUUCAAAACUGCCGAAACAGAGGAAGCUGGAAAACGAAAAUUCAAAUUUUUGGGUUUGUCUUUGGAUUCGAAAUUCUGACUAACCGUAGUUCUGUUUUCACAAAUCUUUAUAUGUAUUGAAAGCUAAAGUUACAAGCUUCAAUUUGAGUAUGGUCUUGCAAAGAUUUGAUGUUUUUAGACCGUUUUCUAGUAGUGACGGUUGUUUUGCCAUAUGUUUCUUACCAAGUAACGGAUAACUAGUCCCUUAUUAAAAUUUUGGAUAAACCAGUUAGGUUUUUGUCUAGUUGUAUUUUUCUUACCAAUAUAAGAAGUCUUAAAUUUGAUUCUUCACUCACUUGAAGAUGAAACAAAACAUAGACAUAAUUGAUAACAUAUAUUUACAACCAACACAUUCAAAUUUUUAAAAUCUAUAACGACAUAAAGCAAUCCAAGUUCCUACAUCUAAUCACUGCACCCACAAUCUUGACCAGCCUUUUAAUCCAAAAAUUCUUUGAGAUUUUGAAUAAAAAGUUAGGUGACAUUUCAACCUUUACCACAAGUGUUCUAUUAAACUUUAGCUUCCAAUCAUAUGAAGUUCUAAUCUGACUUGAAAUGGUAUAAGAUAUUGUACAAGAUUUGUUAUAUUUACUAGCCUCUUGGCACAUGCUCACGCAUGUACCAAUUGAUUUUCUUUUUUCUUUUAUCUUUUAUUUUUAAAACCAAAAAAAAAAAACCUGGAUAGUAAUAUUCCACAAAAGUAGGACAUAUUAUAUGAUUUUGUUUUUAAUUUUAAUUUUUUAAUAAAUAAAAAGUAAAUUUACCGUAUUAUCCCCAUUUAAUUAUUCAUUUCAAUUCUUAAUGUUUCAAUUAACUAAGGGUAUUUUUUUGUAUUUUGAAUGUUUCGCCAUUCUCUGCCUUUUGUUUAUAUACAUAGAUACUGAGAUGGACUAAAUUUAGCUUACGUGAAUUUUGUGUAAACAAGAAUUAUGUGUAAGCUUCGGUGGGUUGUAAUAUAAUUGUUGGGCUAAGAAAAAAAACCGCACAUGGGCUAUAGCCCAAGUUAAUCUUUACUAAGGACCGUCCCUAGUUGUGAUACAUCCCACAAUCAAAUUGGUCUACAAAUCUCAAUUCAAAAAAUCUCAUAUAUACAAAGAAACCGUGCAUGCAAACACAUGCAUCCAUGAACAAGAAAAUCUUAGGUGGCGUUUGGUAUCUAUUCAAGUAUGAAAUUCAAAACCUUUGAUUUUUCUUUAAAAUAAAGAGUUCUAAAAUCAAAAUUUUAUGAUUCAAAAAUUUGUUUGGUAUUUAAGGAGGGAACUCAAACUUUAAAAACAUGGAGUUUUAAAAUCCAUAGUUUAAGAGUAAAAUCAGUUUGUAGUAAAAAUUCUUAAAAAACCGAUUUGUUUGGGUUUUAAGUAUUUACGUGGUUUUGAGUAACUAGGUCUACCAAACAUAUUUUUUGAAUUUUGGACUCAAUUUAUUUUUUUAAAGUUUAAAAAGUUGAAUUCAAAUAGAAUACCAAACAUACACUUAACAUCCUUUUGAUAUCAUAUUUGUUGUAUUUUUUUAAAAAAAAAUUAAAGACAAAUACGAGAUGGGGAGGCAUUAGACGAUUGAGAUUGAGCAAAAAUAAAAAAAAACAUAAAGAGAAUGAGAUAAUAUUUAGUUAGAAAUUACAAAAAUGAACUAGUAUUAUUCUUUUCAUUUUUUAUCCGUUCUCUUGUCACCUCUCACAACACCAUAUCAAGUAUGGGCGCUUGCAAAAGAAAAAAAAAACACGGGACCUCUCAACAAGCCUCAUGUAAGUGUGCUUACAUACAUCGUCUACUAUGGGCGCUCGUCCUCGGGCUGGUACAUGGGAUCGUAGCUGCAAACGAUGUAGUUCUUUCCAUCCUUGCACUUUGAAAUGCCACAUCCGACCUCAGUAGUUUUCCCCCAGAUCACAGCAAGGUAGUGACCACAUUCCUCUUUGACACAUUUGUUGGACUUGGGGUCAUAGAACUCUUUCUCGGUGACCCAAUAUUUAGUGCCAGCUGCGCCAGUCAUGCCGUCGUCUGAGGUCAAGUUCUCCCCCCAACGCCCUCUUGAGUGCUCCAUAGCGCAGUCGUCAACUCUUUUGUUGGCAUAUUCUUGGGCAUACUAAGCCAAGGUUGUGUUCCACUUAAGGGGUUUGUUACCGACCUCUUUACGAGCCUUGUUGUGCUCCUCGAGGAAGCCAUCGAUCUCUGCUUGGGAAAUGUUUGCAGAGACAAGAGUGAAGACCAAUGCGACGCAGCAGAUGGCCAAAAGAAGCUUCGUGUUGAACGCCAUUUUUGUUUCUUGAUAUCAGAAGUUUAAGGUGUUUUCUUUGUAGCAGAGAAGGUUGGAUUGUUAGAUGUUGACUGAAAUGGGAAAUGAGAUUGUGCAUAUUUAUAUAGUUGGGAGGGUAAAAUAUAGGAUGCUAAAAUGGGAGGGUUUGUUCAGUUCUACAAACAAGCAUGGAGAACAAAUGAAAUUUGUGUGGGAUUGCGUCACCGAGUGGAUUUGGUAUCCAUACAACCAUUGUAUUGUCAGACAAUCAAUCUAUACCAUUGAUUAAGUGAAGUUUUAUUUGAAUCCCAUAAUGAGGUGAGGAUAUUUAGUUGCAAUGACUAAAACAUUCAUCUGUACAUUGAGGAUCAAAGUUUUGAUUUUGUUAACGAUAUAAAUGAACUUUGUUAUAUGGCCCCUCUGUCAACUUCUUGUAGCUUUUAAAAAUAAAAGUUAAAUGCAUUAUGCUGCUUUCUAAAAUAUAAAGAAAUGAAAGAGGAAGAAAAUUAGUUAGGCAAAAACUCACUUUUCAUCUAGUUUGAUGAAAUUUCCACGUUUGUCCCUAUAGUUUCAAUUCCAGCAAUUUGACCUAUGUAGUUUGAUUUUAUUGCAAUUUAAAGGACAUUUCCAAAUUUCCGUCCGAUUUCUUAUGGAAUAAGCACUUGCUCAUAAGUGGGGGAGUAUUUUGGAUGGAAAUUUUGAUUUGUCUUUGAAUUGUGAUAGAAUCAAACUACAUUGAUUAAAUUGAUAAAAUUAAAAUUACAUGUGAUAGAAUCAAACUACAUUGAUUAAAUUGAUAAAAUUAAAAUUACAUAGACCAAAGUAAAAAAAAUUGGGCAAACCACAAGGACCAAAAGUGACAUUAUUUCAAUUAAUUAUGGAUAUAGAGGAAAGCGUUUCUCGUGUUUUGCAUCUCUUGAUCUUGCAACAACUUUGGGUUCUCAUCCACUCGAGUUGCCUAGAUUAGAUUGGCAUUGUUUGGGCGAUGAAAAACUCAUGCUAGUUUUCUGUAAUACCUUGAAAAAUUAAUGGUGAAAUUUCAUAUUUCAGUGAAAAAUAAUACUAUAGUGGAGAAUAAUUAUGGGUAUUUUAUCAAGUAAUUUUGGAUUAAGACUACUGGAUUAAGUGCGUUUAAUUUCAAGUUGGACAUAAAUGCCUUUACAUAACAUUUUGUGAAUUUUUCAAAGGACAUUUAAGAAAUUGAAGUGAGACCAUUCUGAUUCUUAGGUAGACGAUAGUAGUCGACUCAAUGAACACGUAGGAAAUCAUUUCUGCAUUUUUUGCCAAAAUGACCAAAAAUACCCGUAUGUGUGAAAAUUACCAAAAUACACUUGUAGACCCAGCAAAAAAAAAAUUGAAACGUCGAGGGCAUCAGCCCACUCUCCACCCAUUCUUUCCCCAUUGCCUCAAGUUUUCAAAUCAAUAAUCAUUUUGGGGAUGAGUUGGUAUAGGUGAGUUAUUAGCUUAAGGUGUGAGUUGGAAGGCUACUAGAGGGUGAAUCACCUAGGCUAAGAUUCCCCAAUGAUGAAUCUGAUUUCUUUUAGAGCUGAGUUUCUGGUAGGAGAGAGAGAGAGAGAGAGAGAGAGAGAGAGAGAGAGAGAGAGAGAGAGAGAGAGGAAUAAGAAGAAGAAGAAGAGGAGGAGGAGGAGGAGGAGAAGACUUGGAAAUAAGAGAGAUGUUAUUACUAUUACAUCCGUGAGAGAAUUAAGAAAGGAAAUGUGUGAGGUAGAAAAGAAAAUGGUGGAAAUAUUGAAACAAUUGGAAGGAUGAAAGGUGGGAUUCUUGUUCUAAGUUCAUUUUCAAUCCUUGAGUGUUGGUAUCAUUAAUUGUUUGAGUAGAGUUAUCGUUGUUACUGAGUUUGAGAAUGAUAUAUGAACCUUCUGAGGCAUAACAAAAUCACAGAAGAAUUUUGAAAUCAAGAUUUUUGGAUUUUGGGUGUGUUGACAAAUAUUUUGGGUUUGGGUGUUCAAACUUUAGAUCCAAAUAUUGUUUUUGGGAAGCUUAGGUCAAGGAAAUGAUGUUGGAGUAUGAUUUCGAGUCUUAAGGAUGGUAUUUGAGGUGUUUAAAGAGACUCUUGAUAAAAUUCUAAAACUUCGUAUUUUUUUAGAAAUUUCAGUUCAUGGGCCUUAAUUUGGCUCCCGUGUUCCUCUGAUUUAUGAAGUAUUUUUGAAAGGUGUUCCAUGUUUUGGAAACUAGGAAUAGCAAGGGUCAAAAUCCUUUUGAUUUCACUGAUUUUGUUUAAGUUUUGGGGGAUUAAAUAUUGGAGUGAAGUUUGGUUUUCAAAACUGACAAAACAGAGGAAGCUGAAAAACGAAAAUUCAAAUUUUUGGGUUUGUCUUUGGAUUCAAAUUUCUCACUAACUGUAGCUUUGUUUUCACAUAUCUUUAUAUGUAUAGAAAGCUAAGGUUACAAGCUUCAAUUUGUGUAUCGUCUUGCAAGGAUUUGAUGUUUUAAGACCAUUCUCUAGUAGUGACGGUUGUUUAGCCUUAUGUUUCUUACAAAAAUAACGGAUAAUUAGUCCCUUAAUAAAAUUUUUGAUAAACCAGUUUGCUUUUUGUCUAGUUGUAUUUUUCUUUCCAAUAUAAGAAGUCCUAAAUUUGAAUCUUCCCUCGCUUGAAGAUUAAAAAAAACAUAGACAUAAUUGAUAACAUAUAUUUACAACCAACACAUUCAAAUUUUCAAAAUCUAUAAUGACAUAAAGCAAUCCAAGUUCCUACCUCUAAUCACUGCACCCACAAUCUUGACCAAGCGUUUUAAUCCAAAAAUUCUUUGAGACCUUGAAUAAAAAGUUAGGUGACAUUUCAACCUUUACCACAAGUGUUCUAUUAUACUUUAGCUUCCAAUCAUAUGGUAUAAGAUAUCGUACAAGAUUUAUUAUAUUUACUAGCCUCUUGACACAUGCUCACGCAUGUACCAAUUGAUUUUAUUUUUUAUUUUUUAUUUUAUUUUUAAAAUAAAAAAAUAACAUGGAUAGUUACGUUCCACAAAAGUAGGACAUAUUAUAUGAUUUUGUUUUUAAUUUUAAUUUUUUUAAUAUAAAAAAUGUGCAUUUACCGUAUUAUCCUCAAUUAAUUAAUAAUUUCAAUUCUUAAUGUUUCAAUUAACUAAGGGUAUUUUUUGGUAUUUUGAAUGUUCCACCAUUCUCUGCAUUGUGCUUUAUAUACAUAGAUAAUGAGAUGGACUGAAUUUACCUUAUGUGAAUUAUGUGUAAAGAAGUAUUAUGUGUAGGCUUCUGUGGGUUGUAAUAUAAAUGUUGGGCUAAGGAAAAAAACGACACAUGUUCUAUAGCCCAAGUUAAUCUUUACUAAGGACUGUCCCUAGUUAUGAUACAACCCACAAUCAAAUUGGUCUACAAAUCUCAAUUCAAAAAAUCUCAUAUAUACAUAAAGAAACAGUGCAUGCAAACACAUGCAUCCAUGAACAAGAAAAUCUUAGGUGGCGUUUGGUAUCUUUUCGAGUAUGAAAUUCAAAAACUUUGAUUUUUCUUAAAAACAAAGAGUUCUAAAAUCAAAUUUUUAAGAUUCAAAAACUUGGUUGGUAUUCAAGGAGGGCACUCAAACUUUAAAAAUAAGGAGUUCUAAAAUCCAUACUUUAAGAUUAAAAACAGUUUGUAGUAAAAAUUCUUAAAAAACCGAUUUGUUUGGGUUUUAAGUAUUUGCGUGGUUUGGAGUAACUAGGUCUACCAAACAUAUUUUUUGAAUUUUGGACUCAAUUUAUUUUUUUUAAGUUUAAAAAUUUGAAUUCAAAUAGAAUACCAAACAUACACUUAACAUCCUUUUGAUUUCACAUUUGUCGUAUUUUAAAAAAAAAAUAUUAAAAACAAAUACGAGAUGGGGAGGCAUUAGAUGAUUGAGAUUGAGCAAAAAUUAAAAAAAACAUAAAGAGAAUGAGAUAAUAUUUAGUGAGAAAUUACAAAAAAAAANNNNNNNNNNNNNNNNNNNNNNNNNNNNNNNNNNNNNNNNNNNNNNNNNNNNNNNNNNNNNNNNNNNNNNNNNNNNNNNNNNNNNNNNNNNNNNNNNNNNNNNNNNNNNNNNNNNNNNNNNNNNNNNNNNNNNNNNNNNNNNNNNNNNNNNNNNNNNNNNNNNNNNNNNNNNNNNNNNNNNNNNNNNNNNNNNNNNNNNNNNNNNNNNNNNNNNNNNNNNNNNNNNNNNNNNNNNNNNNNNNNNNNNNNNNNNNNNNNUCACAGCAAGGUAGUGACCACAUCCUCUUGACACAUUGUUGGACUUGGGGUCAUAAAACUCUUUCUCGGUGACCCAAUAUUUGGUGCCAGCUGCGCCAGUCAUGCCGUCGCCCGAGGUCAAGUUCUCACCCCAACGCCCCCUUGAGUGCUCCAUUGCGCAGUCGUCAACUCUUUUGUUGGCAUAUUCUUGGGCAUACUGGGCCAAGGUUGUGUUCCACUUAAGGGGUUUGUUGCCAACCUCUUUACGAGCCUUGUUGUGCUCCUCGAGGAAGCCAUCGAUCUCUGCUUGGGAAAUGUUUGCAGAGACAAGAGUGAAGACCAAUGCGACGCAGCAGAUGGCCAAAAGUAGCUUCGUGUUGAACGCCAUUUUUGUUUCUUGAUAUCAGAAGUUUAAGGUGUUUUCUUUGUAGCAGAGAAGGUUGGAUUGUUAGAUGUUGAUUGAAAUGGGAAAUGAGAUUGUGCAUAUUUAUAUAGUUGGGAGGGUUAAAUAUAGGAUCCUAAAAUGGGAGGGUUUGUUAAGUUCUAUAAACAAGCAUGGAGAACAAAUAAAACUUGUGUGGGAUUGCGUCACCGAGUGGAUUUGGUAUCCUUACAAACAUUGUAUUGUCAGACAAUCAAUCUAUACCAUUGAUUCAAUGAAGUUUUAUUUGAAUCCUAUAAUCAGGUGAGGAUUUUUAGCUCCAAUGACUAAAACAUUCAGCUGUACAUUGAGGAUCAAAGUUUUGAUUUUGUUAACGAUAUAAAUGAACUUUGUUAUAUGACUCCUCUGUCAACUUCUUGCAGCUUUUAAAAAUAAAAGUAAACGCAUAUGCUGCUUUCCAAAAUAUAAAGAAUGAAAGAGGAAGCAAAUUAGUUAGGCAAAAACUCACUUUUCAUCUAGUUUGAUGAAAUUUUUCCGUUUGUCCCCUAUAGUUUCAAUUCUAGCAAUUUGACCUAUGUAGUUUGAUUUUAUUGCAAUUUAAAGGACAUUUCCAAAUUUCCGUCCGAUUUCUUGAUGGAAUAAACACUUGCUCAUACGUGGAGGAGUAUUUUGGAUGGAAAUUUGGAUUUGUCUUUGAAUUGUAAUAGAAUCAAACUACAUUGAUUAAAUUGAUAAAAUUAAAAUUACAUGUGAUAGAAUCAAACUACAUUGAUUAAAUUGACAAAAUUAAAAUUACAUGGACCAAAGUAAAAAAAUUGGGCAAGCCACAAAGGAGCAAAAGUGACAUUAUUUCAAUUAAUUAUGGAUAUAGUGGAAAACGUUUCUCGUGUUUUGCAUCUCUUGAUCUUGCAACAACUUUGGGUUCUCAUCCGCUCGAGUUUCCCAGAUCAGAUUGGCAUUGUUUGGGAGAUGAAAAACUCAUGCUAGUUUUCUGUAAUACCCUGAAAAAUUAAAGGGAGACUUUCAUAUUUCAGUGAAAAAUAAUACUAUUGUGGAAAAUGAUUAUGGGUAUUUUAUCAAGGAAUUUUGGAUUGAGACUAUUGGAUUAAGUGUGUUUAAUUUCAAGUUGGACAUAAAUGCCUUUACAUAACAUUUUGUGAAUUUUUCAAAGGACAUUUAAGAAAUUGAAGUGAGACCAUUCUGAUUCUUAGGUAGACGAUAGUAGUCGACUCAAUGAACACGUAGGAAAUCAUUUCUGCAUUUUUUGCCAAAAUGACCAAAAAUACCCGUAUGUGUGAAAAUUACCAAAAUACACUUGUAGACCCAGCAAAAAAAAAAUUGAAACGUCGAGGGCAUCAGCCCACUCUCCACCCAUUCUUUCCCCAUUGCCUCAAGUUUUCAAAUCAAUAAUCAUUUUGGGGAUGAGUUGGUAUAGGUGAGUUAUUAGCUUAAGGUGUGAGUUGGAAGGCUACUAGAGGGUGAAUCACCUAGGCUAAGAUUCCCCAAUGAUGAAUCUGAUUUCUUUUAGAGCUGAGUUUCUGGUAGGAGAGAGAGAGAGAGAGAGAGAGAGAGAGAGAGAGAGAGAGAGAGAGAGAGAGAGGAAUAAGAAGAAGAAGAAGAGGAGGAGGAGGAGGAGGAGAAGACUUGGAAAUAAGAGAGAUGUUAUUACUAUUACAUCCGUGAGAGAAUUAAGAAAGGAAAUGUGUGAGGUAGAAAAGAAAAUGGUGGAAAUAUUGAAACAAUUGGAAGGAUGAAAGGUGGGAUUCUUGUUCUAAGUUCAUUUUCAAUCCUUGAGUGUUGGUAUCAUUAAUUGUUUGAGUAGAGUUAUCGUUGUUACUGAGUUUGAGAAUGAUAUAUGAACCUUCUGAGGCAUAACAAAAUCACAGAAGAAUUUUGAAAUCAAGAUUUUUGGAUUUUGGGUGUGUUGACAAAUAUUUUGGGUUUGGGUGUUCAAACUUUAGAUCCAAAUAUUGUUUUUGGGAAGCUUAGGUCAAGGAAAUGAUGUUGGAGUAUGAUUUCGAGUCUUAAGGAUGGUAUUUGAGGUGUUUAAAGAGACUCUUGAUAAAAUUCUAAAACUUCGUAUUUUUUUAGAAAUUUCAGUUCAUGGGCCUUAAUUUGGCUCCCGUGUUCCUCUGAUUUAUGAAGUAUUUUUGAAAGGUGUUCCAUGUUUUGGAAACUAGGAAUAGCAAGGGUCAAAAUCCUUUUGAUUUCACUGAUUUUGUUUAAGUUUUGGGGGAUUAAAUAUUGGAGUGAAGUUUGGUUUUCAAAACUGACAAAACAGAGGAAGCUGAAAAACGAAAAUUCAAAUUUUUGGGUUUGUCUUUGGAUUCGAAUUUCUCAGUAACCGUAGCUUUGUUUUCACAUAUCUUUAUAUGUAUAGAACGCUAAGGUUACAAGCUUCAAUUUGAGUAUGGUCUUGCAAAGAUUUGAUGUUUUAAGACCGUUUUCUAGUAGUGACGGUUGUUUUGCCAUAUGUUUCUUACCAAAGUAACGGAUAAUUAGUCCCUUAUUAAAAUUUUGGAUAAACUAGUUAGGUUUUUGUCUAGUUGUAUUUUUCUUUCCAAUAUAAGAAGUCUUAAAUUCGAUUCUUCCCUCACUUGAAGAUGAAAAAAAACAUAGACAUAAUUGAUAACAUAUAUUUACAACCAACACAUUCAAAUUUUCAAAAUCUAUAAUGACAUAAACCAAUCCAAAUUCCUACCUCUAAUCACUGCACCCACAAUCUUGACCAAGCGUUUUAAUCCAAAAAUUCUUUGAGAUCUUGAAUAAAAAGUUAGGUGACAUUUCAACCUUUACCACAAGUGUUCUAUUAUACUUUAGCUUCCAAUCAUAUGAAGUUCUAAUCUAACUUGAAAUGGUAUAAGAUAUCAUAGAAGAUUUGUUAUAUUUAGUAGCCUCUUGGCACAUGCUCUCGCAUGUACUAAUUGGUUUUCUUUUUUCUUUUUUCUUUCAUUUUUAAAAUAAAUAAAAAAACAUGGAUAGUUAUGUUCCACAAAAGUAGGACAUAUUAUAUGAUUUUGUUUUUAAUUUUAAUUUUUUUAGUAUAAAAAAUGUGAAUUUACCGUAUUAUCCCCAUUUAGUUAUUCAUUUCAAUUCUUAAUGUUUCAAUUAACUAAGGGUAUUUUUUGGUAUUUUGAAUGUUUCACUAUUUUCUGCCUUUUGUUUUAUAUACAUAGAUAAUGAGAUGGACUAAAUUUACUUUAUGUGAAUUAUGUGUAAAGAAGUAUUAUGUGUAGGCUUUAGUGGGUUGUAAUAUAAAUUUUGGGCUAAGAAAAAAAACCGCACAUGGGCUAUAGCCCAAGUUAAUUUUUACUAAGGACCGUCCCUAGUUAUGAUACAACCCACAAUCAAAUUGGUCUACAAAUCUCAAUUCAAAAAAUCUCAUAUAUACAUAAAGAAACGGUGCAUGCAAACACAUGCAUCCAUGAACAAGAAAAUCUUAAGUGGUGUUUGGUAUCUAUUCCAGUAUGAAAUUCAAAACCUUUGAUUUUUCCUAAAAAUAAAGAGUUCGAAAAUUAAAUUUUUAAGAUUCAAAAACUUGUUUGGUAUCCAAGGAGGGAACUCAAACUUUAAAAACAAGGAGUUCUAAAAUCGUACUUUAAGAUUAAAAACAGUUUGUAGUAAAAAUUCUUAAAAAACCGAUUUGUUUGGGUUUUAAGUAUUUGCGUGGUUUUGAGUAACUAGGUAUACCAAAAAUAUUUUUUGAAUUUUGGACUCAAUUUAUUUUUUUAAAGUUUAAAAAGUUGAAUUCAAAUAGAAUACCAAACAUAUACUUAACAUCCUUUUGAUAUCACAUUUGUCGUAUUUAAAAAAAAAAAAAUAAAGACAAAUACGAGAUUGGGAGACAUUAGACGAUUGAGAUUGAGCCAAAAAAAAAAACAUAAAGAGAAUGAGAUAACAUUUACUUAGAAAUUACAAAAAUGAACUAGUAUUAUUCUUUUCAUUUUUUAUCCAUUCUCUUGUCACCUCUCACAAUACCAUAUCAAGUAUGGGUGCUCGCAAAAGAAAAAAAAAACAUGGGACCUCUCAACAGGCCUUAUGUAAGUGUGCAUACAUACAUCGUCUAGUAUGGACGCUCGUCCUCGGGCUGGUACAUGGGAUCGUAGCUGCAAACGAUGUAGUUCUUUCCAUCCUUGCACUUUGAAAUCCCACAUCCGACCUCGGUGGUUUUGCCCCAGAUCACAGCAAGGUAGUGACCACAUUCCUCUUUGACACAUUUGUUGGACUUGGGGUCAUAAAACUCUUUCUCGGUGACCCAAUAUUUGGUGCCAGCUGCGCCAGUCAUGCCGUCGCCCGAGGUCAAGUUCUCACCCCAACGCCCCCUUGAGUGCUCCAUUGCGCAGUCGUCAACUCUUUUGUUGGCAUAUUCUUGGGCAUACUGGGCCAAGGUUGUGUUCCACUUAAGGGGUUUGUUGCCAACCUCUUUACGAGCCUUGUUGUGCUCCUCGAGGAAGCCAUCGAUCUCUGCUUGGGAAAUGUUUGCAGAGACAAGAGUGAAGACCAAUGCGACGCAGCAGAUGGCCAAAAGAAGCUUCGUGUUGAACGCCAUUUUUGUUUCUUGAUAUCAGAAGUUUAAGGUGUUUUCUUUGUAGCAGAGAAGGUUGGAUUGUUAGAUGUUGACUGAAAUGGGAAAUGAGAUUGUGCAUAUUUAUAUAGUUGGGAGGGUAAAAUAUAGGAUGCUAAAAUGGGAGGGUUUGUUCAGUUCUACAAACAAGCAUGGAGAACAAAUGAAAUUUGUGUGGGAUUGCGUCACCGAGUGGAUUUGGUAUCCAUACAACCAUUGUAUUGUCAGACAAUCAAUCUAUACCAUUGAUUAAGUGAAGUUUUAUUUGAAUCCCAUAAUGAGGUGAGGAUAUUUAGUUGCAAUGACUAAAACAUUCAUCUGUACAUUGAGGAUCAAAGUUUUGAUUUUGUUAACGAUAUAAAUGAACUUUGUUAUAUGGCCCCUCUGUCAACUUCUUGUAGCUUUUAAAAAUAAAAGUUAAACGCAUUAUGCUGCUUUCCAAAAUAUAAAGAAAUGAAAGAGGAAGCAAAUUAGUUAGGCAAAAACUCACUUUUCAUCUAAUUUAAUGAAAUUUUCACGUUUGUCCCUAUAGUUUCAAUUCUAGCAAUUUGACCUAUGUAGUCUGAUUUUAUUUCAAUUUAAAGGACAUUUCCAAAUUUCCGUCUGAUUUCUUGAUGGAAUAAACACUUGCUCAUACAUGGAGGAGUAUUUUGGAUGGAAAUUUGGAUUUGUCUUUGAAUUGUGAUAGAAUCAAACUACAUUGAUUAAAUUGAUAAAAUUAAAAUUACAUGUGAUAGAAUCAAACUACAUUGAUUUAUUUGACAAAAUUAAAAUUACAUGGACCAAAGUAAAAAAAUCGGACAAACCACAAGGACCAAAAGUGACAUUAUUUCAAUUAAUUAUGGAUGUAGAGGAAAACGUUUCCCAUGUUUUGCAUCUCUUCAUCUUGCAACAACUUUGGGUUCUCAUCCGCUCGAAUUGCCUAGAUCUGGUUGGCAUUGUUUGGGCGAUGAAAAACUCAAGCUAUUUUCUGUAAUACCCUUAAAAAUUAAAGGUGGACUUUCAUAUUUCAGUGAAAAAUAAUACUAUAGUGGAGAAUGAUUAUGGAUAUUUUAUCAAGUAAUUUUGGAUGGAGACUACUGGAUUAAGUGUGUUUAAUUUCAAGUUGGACAUAAAUGCCUUUACAUAACAUUUUGUGAAUUUUUCAAAGGACAUUUUUAAGAAAUUGAAGUGAGACCAUUCUGAUUCUUAGGUCGGAUGAUAGUAGUCGACCCAAUGAACAUGUAGGAAAUCAUUUCUGCAAUUUUUUCCAAAAUGACCAACAAUACCCCUAUGUGUGAAAAUUACCAAAAUACCCUUCAUGACCCAAAAAAAGGAAAAAAUUGAAAUGUGGAGGGCAUCAGCCGACUCUCCACCCAUUCUUUCCCCAUUGCCUCAAGUUUUUAAAUCAAUAAUCAUUUUGGGGAUGAGUUGGUAUAGGUGAGUUAUUAGCUUAAGGUGUGAGUUGGGAGGCUACUAGAGGGUGAGUCAUCGAGGAUAAGAUUCCCCAAUGAUGAAUCUGAUUUCUUUUAGAGCUGAGUUUCUGGUGGGAGAGAGAGAGAGAGAGAGAGAGAGAGAGAGAGAGAGAGAGAGAGAGAGAGAGAGAUUAAGAAGAAGGAGAAGAGGAGGAGGAGGAGGAGGAGAAGACUUGGAAAUAAGAGAGAUGUUAUUACUAUUACAUCCGUGAGAGAAUUAAGAAAGGAAAUGUGUGAGGUAGAAAAGAAAAUGGUGGAAAUAUUGAAACAAUUGGAAGGAUGAAAGGUGGGAUUCUUGUUCUAAGUUCAUUUUCAAUCCUUGAGUGUUGGUAUCAUUAAUUGUUUGAGUAGAGUUAUCGUUGUUACUGAGUUUGAGAAUGAUAUAUGAACCUUCUGAGGCAUAACAAAAUCACAGAAGAAUUUUGAAAUCAAGAUUUUUGGAUUUUGGGUGUGUUGACAAAUAUUUUGGGUUUGGGUGUUCAAACUUUAGAUCCAAAUAUUGUUUUUGGGAAGCUUAGGUCAAGGAAAUGAUGUUGGAGUAUGAUUUCGAGUCUUAAGGAUGGUAUUUGAGGUGUUUAAAGAGACUCUUGAUAAAAUUCUAAAACUUCGUAUUUUUUUAGAAAUUUCAGUUCAUGGGCCUUAAUUUGGCUCCCGUGUUCCUCUGAUUUAUGAAGUAUUUUUGAAAGGUGUUCCAUGUUUUGGAAACUAGGAAUAGCAAGGGUCAAAAUCCUUUUGAUUUCACUGAUUUUGUUUAAGUUUUGGGGGAUUAAAUUUCGAGGGAAGUUAGGUUUUCAAAACUGCCGAAACAGAGGAAGCUGGAAAACGAAAAUUCAAAUUUUUGGGUUUGUCUUUGGAUUCGAAUUUCUGACUAAUCGUAGCUCUGUUUUCACAUAUCUUUAUAUGUAUCGAAAGCUAAGGUUACAAGCUUCAAUUUGAGUAUGGUCUUGCAAAGAUUUGAUGUUUUAAGACCGUUUUCUAGCAGUGACGGUUGUUUAGCCAUAUGUUUCUUACCAAAGGAAUGGAUAAUUAGUCCCUUAUUAAAAUUUUGGAUAAACCAGUUAGGUUUUUGUCUAGUUGUAUUUUUGCUUCCAAUAUAAGAAGUCUUAAAUUUGAUUCUUCCCUCACUUGAAGAUGAAAAAAAACAUACACAUAAUUGAUAACAUAUAUUUACAACCAACACAUUCAAAUUUUCAAAAUCUAUAAUGACAUAAAGCAAUCCAAGUUCCUACCUCUAAUCACUGCACCCACAAUCUUGACCAAGCGUUUUAAUCCAAAAAUUCUUUGGGAUCUUGAAUAAAAAUUUAGGUGACUUUUCAACCUUUACCACAAGUGUUCUAUUAUACUUUAGCUUCCAAUCAUAUGAAGUUCUAAUCUGACUUGAAAUGGUAUAAGAUAUCAUAGAAGAUUUGUUAUAUUUACAAGCCUCUUGGCACAUGCUCACGCAUGUACCAAUUGGUUUUAUUUUUUAUUUUUUAUUUUAUUUUUAAAAUAAAAAAAAUAACGUGGAUAGUUAUGUUCCACAAAAGUAGGACAUAUUAUAUGAUUUUGUUUUUAAAUUUUUUUAAUAUAAAAAAUGUGAAUUUUCCGUAUUAUCCCCAUUUAAUUAUUCAUUUCAAUUCUUAAUGUUUCAAUUAACUGAGGGUAUUUUUUGGUAUUUUGAAUGUUUCACCAUUCUCUGCCUUUUGUUUUAUAUACAUAGAUAAUGAGAUGGACUAAAUUUACCUUAUGUGAAUUAUGUGUAAAGAAGUAUUAUGUGUAGGCUUCGGUGGGUUGUAAUAUAAAUGUUGGGCUAAGAAAAAAAAAACGCACGUGGGCUAUAGCCCAAGUUAAUCUUUACUAAGGACAGUCCCAAGUUAUGAUACAACCCACAAUCAAAUUGGUCUACAAAUCUCAAUUCAAAAAAUCUCAUAUAUACAUAAAGAAACGGUGCAUGUAAACACAUGCAUCCAUGAACAAGAAAAUCUUAGGUGGCAUUUGGUAUCUAUUCAAGUAUGAAAUUUAGAUCAAGAAAAUCUGAGUUUGAGAAUGAUUUAUGAACCUUCUGAGGCAUAAGAAAAUCAAAGAAGAAUUUUGAAAUCAAGAUUAUCGGAUUUUGGGUGUGUUGAAUUUUUUUUGUGUUUUGGUGUUCAAACUUUAGAUCCAAAUCUUGUUUUUGGAAAGCUUUGGUCAAGGAAAUGAUGUUGGAGUAUGAUUUCGAGUCUUAAGGAUGCUAUUUGAGGUGUUGAAAGAGACUCUUGAUAAAAUUCUGAAACUCCAUAUAUUUUUGGAAAUUUCAGUUCAUGGGCCUUACUUUGGCUCUCAUGUUCCUCAGAUUUAUGAAUUUUUGAAAGGUUUUUCAUGUUUUGGAAACUAGGCAUAGCAAGGGUCAAAACCCUUUUGAUUUCACUGAUUAUGUUGAAGUUUUGGGAGAUUAAAUAUUGGAGUGAAUUUAGGUUUCCAAAACUGCCCAAACAGAGGAACUGGAAAACGAAAAUUUAAAUUUUUGGGUCUGUCUUUGGAUUCAAAUUUCUCACUAACUGUACCUCUGUUUUCACAUAUCUUUAUAUGUAUAGAAAGCUAAGGUUACAAGCUUCAAUUUGAGUACGGUCUUGCAAAGAGUUGAUGUUUUAAGACCGUUGUCUAGUAGUGACGGUUGUUUAGCCUUACGUUUCUUACCAAAGUAAUAGAUAAUUAGUCCCAUAUUAAAAUUUUGGAUAAACCAGUUAUGUUUUUGUCUAGUUGUAUUUUUCUUUCCAAUAUAAGAAGUCUUAAAUUCGAUUCUUCCCUCACUUGAAGAUGAAAAAAAACAUAGACAUAAUUGAUAACAUAUAUUUACAACCAACACAUUCAAAUUUUCAAAAUCUACAAUGACAUAAAGCAAUCCAAGUAGUCUUGACCAAGCGUUUUAAUCCAAAAAUUCUUUGAGAUCUUGAAUAAAAGGUUAGGUGACAUUUCAACCUUCACCACAAGUGUUCUAUUAAACUUUAGCUUCCAGUCAUAUGAAGUUCUAAUCUGACUUGAAAUGGUAUAAGAUAUCGUACAAGAUUUGUUAUAUUUACUACCCAAUUGGUUUUCUUUUUUAUUUCUUAUUUUAUUUUUAAAAUAUAAAAAAAGAUAACAUGGAUAGUUAUGUUCCACAAAAGUAUGACAUAUUAUAUGAUUUUGUUUUUAAUUUUAAUUUUUUUAAUAUAAAAAAUGUGAAUUUACCGUAUUAUCCUCAUUUAAUUAAUAAUUUCAAUUCUUGACGUUUCAAUUAACUAAGGAUAUAUUUUAGUAUUUUGAAUGUUUCACCAUUCUCUGUCUUUUGCUUUAUAUACAUAGAUAAUGAGAUGGACUAAAUUUACCUUACGUGAAUUAUGUGUAAAGAAGUAUUAUGCGUAGGCUUCAGUGGGUUGUAAUAUAAAUGUUGGCUAAGAAAAAAAACCACACAUGGGCUAUAGCCCAAGUUAAUCUUUACUAAGGAUCGUCCCUAGUUAUGAUACAACCCACAAUCAAAUUGGUCUACAAAUCUCAAUUCAAAAAAUCUCAUAUAUACAUAAAGAAACGGUGCAUGCAAACACAUGCAUCCAUGAACAAGAAAAUCUUAGGUGGCGUUUGGUAUCUAUUCAAGUAUGAAAUUCAAAAACUAUAAUUUUUCUAAAAACAAAGAGUUCUAAAAUCAAAUUUUUAAGAUUCAAAAACUUGUUUGGUAUUCAAGGAGGGAACUCAAACUUUAAAAACAAGGAGUUCUAAAAUCCAUACUUUAAGAUUAAAAACAGUUUGUAGUAAAAAGUCUUAAAAAACCGAUUUGUUUGGGUUUUAAGUAUUUGCGUGGUUUGGAGUAACUAGGUCUACCAAACAUAUUUUUUGAAUUUUGGACUUAAUUUUUUUUUUUUAAAGUUUAAAAAGUUGAAUUCAAAUAGAAUACCAAACAUACACUUAACAUCCUUUUGAUAUCACAUUUGUCUUAUUGUUUUUAACAAAUUAAAGACAAAUGCGAGAUGGGGAGGCAUUAGACGAUUGAGAUUGAGCAAAAACAAAAGAAAAAAUAAAGAGAAUGAGAUAAUAUUUAGUUAGAAAUUACAAAAAUGAAAUAAUAUUAUUCUAUCCAUUUUUUAUCCAUUCUCUUGUCACCUCUCACAAUACCAUAUCAAGUAUGGGCGCUCGAAAAAGAAAAAAAAAAACACGGGACCUCUCAACGGCCCUCAUGUAAGUGUGCAUACAUACAUCAUCUAGUAUGGGCGCUCGUCCUCGGGCUGGUACAUGGGAUCGUAGCUGCAAACAAUGUAGUUCUUUCCAUCCUUGCACUUUGAAAUGCCACAUCCGACCUCGGUGGUUUUGCCCCAGAUCACAGCAAGGUAGUGACCACAUUCCUCUUUGACACAUUUGUUGGACUUGGGGUCAUAGAACUCUUUCUCGGUGACCCAAUAUUUAGUGCCAGCUGCGCCGGUCAUGCCGUCGCCCGAGGUCAAGUUCUCACCCCAACGCCCCCUUGAGUGCUCCAUAGCGCAAUCGUCAACUCUUUUGUUGGCAUAUUCUUGGGCAUACUGGGCCAAGGUUGUGUUUCACUUAAGGGGUUUGUUGCCGACCUCUUUACGAGCCUUGUUGUGCUCCUCGAGGAAGCCAUUGAUCUCUGCUUGGGAAAUGUUUGCAGAGACAAGAGUGAAGACCAAUGCGACGCAGCAGAUGGCCAAAAGAAGCUUCGUGUUGAACGUCAUUUUUGUUUCUUGAUAUCAGAAGUUUAAGGUGUUUUCUUUGUAGCAGAGAAGGUUGGAUUGUUAGAUGUUGAUUGAAAUGGGAAAUGAGAUUGUGCAUAUUUAUAUAGUUGGGAGGGUUAAAUAUAGGAUCCUAAAAUGGGAGGAUUUGUUAAGUUCUAUAAACAAGCAUGGAGAUCAAAUAAAACUUGUAUGGGAUAACGAGUGGAUUUGGUAUCCAUACAAACAUUGUAUUGUCAGACAAUCAAUCUCUACCAUUGAUUAAGUGAAGUUUUAUUUGAAUCCUAUAAUUAGGUGAGGAUUUUUAGCUGCAAUGACUAAAACACUCAGCUGUAUACUGAUGAUGAAAUUUUUGACUUUGUUAACGAUAUAAAUGAACUUUGUUACAUGGCCCCUCUGUCAACUUCUUGUAGCUUUUAAAAAUAAAAGUUAAAUGCAUUAUGCUGCUUUCCAAAAUAUAAAGAAAUGAAAGAGGAAGCAAAUUAGUUAGGCAAAAACUCACUUUUCAUCUAGUUUGAUGAAAUUUUUCCGUUUGUCCCUAUAGUUUCAAUUCUAGCAAUUUGACCUAUGUAGUUUGAUUUUAUUGCAAUUUAAAGGACAUUUCCAAAUUUCCGUCCGAUUUCUUGAUGGAAUAAACACUUGCUCAUACGUGGAGGAGUAUUUUGGAUGGAAAUUUGGAUUUGUCUUUGAAUUGUAAUAGAAUCAAACUACAUUGAUUAAAUUGAUAAAAUUAAAAUUACAUGUGAUAGAAUCAAACUACAUUGAUUAAAUUGACAAAAUUAAAAUUACAUGGACCAAAGUAAAAAAAUUGGGCAAGCCACAAAGGAGCAAAAGUGACAUUAUUUCAAUUAAUUAUGGAUAUAGUGGAAAACGUUUCUCGUGUUUUGCAUCUCUUGAUCUUGCAACAACUUUGGGUUCUCAUCCGCUCGAGUUCCCAGAUCAGAUUGGCAUUGUUUGGGAGAUGAAAAACUCAUGCUAGUUUUCUGUAAUACCCUGAAAAAUUAAAGGGAGACUUUCAUAUUUCAGUGAAAAAUAAUACUAUUGUGGAAAAUGAUUAUGGGUAUUUUAUCAAGGAAUUUUGGAUUGAGACUAUUGGAUUAAGUGUGUUUAAUUUCAAGUUGGACAUAAAUGCCUUUACAUAACAUUUUGUGAAUUUUUCAAAGGACAUUUAAGAAAUUGAAGUGAGACCAUUCUGAUUCUUAGGUAGGACAAUAGUAGUUGACUCAAUGAACACGUAGGAAAUCAUUUCUGCAUUUUUUGCGAAAAUGACCAAAAAUACCCUUAUGUGUGAAAAUUACCGAAAUAAGCUUGUAGACCCAGAAAAAAAAAAUUGAAACGUGGAGGGCAUCAGCCCACUUUCCGCCCAUUCUUUCUCCAUUGCCUCAAGUUUUCAAAUCAAUAAUCAUUUGGGGGAUGAGUUGGUGUAGGUGAGUUAUUAGCUUAAGGUGUGAGUUGGAAGGCUACUAGAGGGUGAGUCACCUAGGCUAAGAUUCCCAAAUGAUGAAUCUGAUUUCUUUUAGAGCUAAGUGAGUUUCUGGUGGGAGGGGAAGAUAAUGAGAGAGAGAGAGAGAGAGAGGAGAAGAAGAAGAAGAAGAAGAAGAAGAGGAGGAGGAGGAGAAGACUUGGAAAUAAGGGAGAUGUUAUUACGAUUAUAUCCAUGAGAGGAUUAAGAAAGAAAAUGGUGGAAAUAUUGAAUCAAUUGGAAUGAUGAAAGGUGGGACUCUUGUUCUAAGUUCAUUUUUAAUCCUUGAGUUUUGGUAUAAUUAAUUGUUUGAGUAGAUUUAUAGUUGUAACUGAGUUUGAGAAUGAUUUAUGAACCUUCUAAGGCAUAAGAAAAUCAAAGAAGAAUUUUGAAAUCAAGAUUUAAUGAUUUUGUGUGUGUUGAUAAAUUUUUGGGUUUGGGUGUUCAAACUUUGGAUCCAAAUCUUGUUUUUGGGAAGCUUAGGUCAAGGAAAUGAUGUUGGAGCAUGAUUUCGAGUCUUAAGGAUGGUAUUUGAGGUGUUGAAAGAGAUUCUUUGUAAAAUUCUAAAACUUCGUAUUUUUUUGGAAAUUUCAGUUCAUGGGCCUCACUUUGGCUCUCAUGUUCCUCUGAUUUAUGAAGUAUUUUUGAAAGGUUUUUCAAGUUUUGGAAACUAGGAAUAGCAAGGGUCAAAACCCUUUUGAUUUCACUGAUUUUGUUUAAGUUUUGGGGGAUUAAAUGUCAGAGUGAAGUUAGGUUUUCAAAACUGUCGAAACAGAGGAAGCUGGAAAACGAAAAUUCAAAUUUUUGGGUUUGUCUUUGGAUUCAAAUUUCUCACUAACUGUAGCUUUGUUUUCACAUAUCUUUAUAUGUAUAGAAAGCUAAGGUUACAAGCUUCAAUUUGUGUAUCGUCUUGCAAGGAUUUGAUGUUUUAAGACCAUUCUCUAGUAGUGACGGUUGUUUAGCCUUAUGUUUCUUACAAAAAUAACGGAUAAUUAGUCCCUUAAUAAAAUUUUUGAUAAACCAGUUUGCUUUUUGUCUAGUUGUAUUUUUCUUUCCAAUAUAAGAAGUCCUAAAUUUGAAUCUUCCCUCGCUUGAAGAUUAAAAAAAACAUAGACAUAAUUGAUAACAUAUAUUUACAACCAACACAUUCAAAUUUUCAAAAUCUAUAAUGACAUAAAGCAAUCCAAGUUCCUACCUCUAAUCACUGCACCCACAAUCUUGACCAAGCGUUUUAAUCCAAAAAUUCUUUGAGACCUUGAAUAAAAAGUUAGGUGACAUUUCAACCUUUACCACAAGUGUUCUAUUAUACUUUAGCUUCCAAUCAUAUGGUAUAAGAUAUCGUACAAGAUUUAUUAUAUUUACUAGCCUCUUGACACAUGCUCACGCAUGUACCAAUUGAUUUUAUUUUUUAUUUUUUAUUUUAUUUUUAAAAUAAAAAAAUAACAUGGAUAGUUACGUUCCACAAAAGUAGGACAUAUUAUAUGAUUUUGUUUUUAAUUUUAAUUUUUUUAAUAUAAAAAAUGUGCAUUUACCGUAUUAUCCUCAAUUAAUUAAUAAUUUCAAUUCUUAAUGUUUCAAUUAACUAAGGGUAUUUUUUGGUAUUUUGAAUGUUCCACCAUUCUCUGCAUUGUGCUUUAUAUACAUAGAUAAUGAGAUGGACUGAAUUUACCUUAUGUGAAUUAUGUGUAAAGAAGUAUUAUGUGUAGGCUUCUGUGGGUUGUAAUAUAAAUGUUGGGCUAAGGAAAAAAACGACACAUGUUCUAUAGCCCAAGUUAAUCUUUACUAAGGACUGUCCCUAGUUAUGAUACAACCCACAAUCAAAUUGGUCUACAAAUCUCAAUUCAAAAAAUCUCAUAUAUACAUAAAGAAACAGUGCAUGCAAACACAUGCAUCCAUGAACAAGAAAAUCUUAGGUGGCGUUUGGUAUCUUUUCGAGUAUGAAAUUCAAAAACUUUGAUUUUUCUUAAAAACAAAGAGUUCUAAAAUCAAAUUUUUAAGAUUCAAAAACUUGGUUGGUAUUCAAGGAGGGCACUCAAACUUUAAAAAUAAGGAGUUCUAAAAUCCAUACUUUAAGAUUAAAAACAGUUUGUAGUAAAAAUUCUUAAAAAACCGAUUUGUUUGGGUUUUAAGUAUUUGCGUGGUUUGGAGUAACUAGGUCUACCAAACAUAUUUUUUGAAUUUUGGACUCAAUUUAUUUUUUUUAAGUUUAAAAAUUUGAAUUCAAAUAGAAUACCAAACAUACACUUAACAUCCUUUUGAUUUCACAUUUGUCGUAUUUUAAAAAAAAAAAUAUUAAAAACAAAUACGAGAUGGGGAGGCAUUAGAUGAUUGAGAUUGAGCAAAAAUUAAAAAAAACAUAAAGAGAAUGAGAUAAUAUUUAGUGAGAAAUUACAAAAAAAAAAUGAAAUAAUAUUAUUCUUUUCAUUUUUUAUCCAUUCUCUUGUCACCUCUCACAAUACCAUAUCAAGUAUGGGCGCUCGCAAAAGAAAAACAAACAUGAGAGCUCUCAACAGGCCUGAUGUAAGUGUGCGUACAUACAUCGUCUAGUAUGGGCGCUCGUCCUCGGGCUGGUACAUGGGAUCGUAGCUGCAAACGAUGUAGUUCUUUCCAUCCUUGCACUUUGAAAUGCCACAUCCGACCUCGGUGGUUUUUCCCCAGAUCACAGCAAGGUAGUGACCACAUUCCUCUUUGAGACAUUUGUUGGACUUGGGGUCAUAGAACUCUUUCUCGGUGACCCAAUAUUUAGUCCCAGUUGCACCGGUCAUGCCAUCACCUGAGGUCAAGUUCUCACCCCAACGCCCCCUUGAGUGCUCCAUAGCGCAGUCAUCAACUCUUUUGUUGGCAUAUUCUUGGGCAUACUGGGCCAAGGUUGUGUUCCACUUAAGGGGUUUGUUGCCGACCUCUUUACGAGCCUUGUUGUGCUCCUCGAGGAAGCCAUCGAUCUCUGCUUGGGAAAUGUUUGCAGAGACAAGAGUGAAGACCAAUGCGACGCAGCAGAUGGCCAAAAGUAGCUUCGUGUUGAACGCCAUUUUUGUUUCUUGAUAUCAGAAGUUUAAGGUGUUUUCUUUGUAGCAGAGAAGGUUGGAUUGUUAGAUGUUGAUUGAAAUGGGAAAUGAGUUGUGCAUGUUUAUAUUGUUGGUAGGGUUAAAUAUAGGAUCCUAAAAUGUGAGGGUUCGUUAAGUUAUAUAAAUAAGCAUGGAGAACAAAUAAAACUUGUGUGCGAUUGCGUCACCAUCUCAUUAUAGUGGAUUUGGGAUCCAUACAAACAUUCUACUGUCAGUCGACAAUUAAUCUAUUGUUGGAAGUUUGAAAGCAAAUGUCCCACAUUGGAGAAAAACAAAAAAUUCCAUAUGCUUUAUAAGCAUGAAACCUUAACAUCAAUUAAAUAAGGAUUGGUGGGCUGAUGGGCUUGGUAGUGAAGACUAUCAUGGUUGGCUUGCUUGAUUAAUAUUAAUAUUUAAAUAAUCAAGACUCUGGAAAAUAAAAGAAAUAUACCUAGCCCGAAAAUAAAAUAAUUAUUUUUUAUUUUUCGGAUUUCUUUGGCAGAAGUUAAAUUCAAACCAGAAAGACUUAUCUUUUUGUUUGAAUUUGAACAGAUAUAACGGAUACUAACUGCUAUUUUGAAGGGGUGUAAUUCUAUUAUAAAACCACAAGUCCUAGACCAUAAGACGGAUCUCUUUUUCUUUAAAACUAUCUCAUAUUAUUUUAAAGUUACCAACUGUAUUGGAGAGAAGCACACCAACGUUCGCCAGAAUUCAAGGAUCCGGUGCUGGACCCUUGAAUUAUAGAUAGUUGAAUCCUGGGAGAUAGACGCCUGUUGAACUUCAAGCACUGAGAAGAGGCGAAAUUCUGUCUUUAGGACAUUGCAAAUACGCAAGCCUCUAUCUUCAAUAAAAGUCAGUAUUCUGUACUUAAUUUAUAUAUUUGCACAUUUAUACAGAUUUCGUAAUUUUGCUACUGUUUAUAUUUUAAGAAUUGUGCAAUAAUAUAGUGAUCCUAUAGCAUACAACAUUUACUGAUUAUUUUUAUAACAUCUAUACCAUUGAUUAAGUGAAGUUUAAUUUGAAUCCUAUAUUACAGUAUAUAAUUAGGUGAGGAUUUUUACCUGCAAUGAGUAAAACAUUCAGCCUUACACUGAGGAUCAAAGUUUUGACUUUGUUAACGAUAUAAAUGAACUUUGUUAUAUGGCCCCUCUGUCAACUUCUUGUAGCUUUGAAAAAUAAAAGUUAAAUGCAUUAUGCUUCUUUCCAAAAUAUAAUGAAAUGAAAGCGGAAGCAAAUUAGUUAGGCAAAAACUCACUUUUCAUCUAGUUUGAUGAAAUUUCCAUGUUUGUCUCUAUAGUUUCAAUUCUAGCAAUUUGACCUAUGUAGUUUGAUUUUCUUGCAAUUUAGAAAACCUCCAGCGCCCCACACAAACAAUAGCAACAGGCCCCCCUAGGCCCAUUUUGGCCCUCUAGCACGCAGCCUAAAGCCCGGGCAAGCCCUGGGACCCCCAAGCCCCAUGGCAAUUUUCAACUGAGCUCUUGCCCGAAGUGGCUAACGUCAGUAAAGCCGAAUUAAUUUUUUAUACCAUUGGCGUGUGGCUUCGCCGACGUUAUUGUGACGUUAGCACUUACAGCUCCCAACAAGAACACACCAUAUGGCGCUUCCUAGACGGUCCAAUCGAAUUUUGCCUAGAAAUCUGACGGACUUGGUUUUUUUGGCUAAGAAAAUUGCAAAACAAAUUGAAAAAAAAAAUCGAAAUUGAGUCUCCACAUUUUGAUGGAACUAACUUCUCCUUUAGUUUUGAGAAGGGAAACCCAAGUCAUGCAUGUGCAAUCAUCUAUAAACAUGAUAAACCAUAGAUCUCCUGCCGGAGUGGCAAUUUUAGCAGGUCCCCAAAUAUUGGAAUGAACAAGAGAAAACAAAACUAAACUCUUAUUUGAACUUAAUGGGAACAGGAUACGAUGGCUCUUAGCCAAUUCGCACGUAUCACAUUGGAAGCUAGAAACAUCAAGACUGAAAAAUAAUGACGAAAACAACUUUUUAAGAUAACCGAAUGAGGCAUGCUCAAGAUGUUUAUGCCAUAACCAAACUUUGUCUCUCUCCCCCUCAGAACGAGUUCCACUGGUUGUGAAAGAUUGACCAACCUUGGUCUCACUAUCCGAUGCCCAGUCCAAGUAGUAGAGUUUUCCCUGCUAGUACCACAACCAAUCGUCUUUCCCAUAAGGAUGUCCUGAAAAACACAAUGAUUCGGCCAAAAUAUUACAGUACACCCAAAGUAGUAGUAAGUUGUGCAACAGACAACAAAUUAUGAUCCAAGGAUGGAACAAUCAAUAUAGAAUCCAAAUGUAGGGAAGUAGAGAGAGAUAGAGAGCUCUCCUCAACCACAAGGGGAGGUACCAUUAGCAUUAGAUACCAUCGACGGAGUAGAUGAUUUACGACUAAUAAGUUGGUUAGGAUCAAUUGUCAUGUGAUUCGUAGCACCCGAGUCAAUAAUCCAUACGGAUUUUUGAGAUGACGUAUGAAAAGCAGAACCUUUGGUGGUGGCGAUAGAAGCAUGAGUCCGAGUAGUCAAGUCAGCAGGAGUGACCGCAGGUGACAGGACCCGACCCAAAUUUCACUUUGGAAUCCGAGCCGAACCCUGUUCAUGUCCGACACUUGGCGGGUGCCGGUCACAAUGACUAAAUUGCCUUCUAGUUAAAAUUCAAGUUUAUUACAAGUUCAAUUUCUACCGAAAAUUCGGCAAAGUCUCUCAUGAAAUUUGAUCAUUUCCCAGAAUUUCGACCUGUCAAAAGCAUAAAUAUACAUAUCCCAACUGCUAGCAUGCUUCCAAUUUAAGAUCCAAACAGUUCUGAUAAACUAAACGGCCUCAGGCCCAUACAGAAAUUCUUAGGGCAAAUCAUCAAAGCAACUAAUUCAGGAAUAUACAACAGAACAAUUUGAUUUCAAAAGAAAAGUCUAUAUAAGAGAGAGAGUGGAGCGGAGUGUGGAAUCUGCCCGGUGGUAACGCUCUGGUGCACAUCUAUUGCCUGGGGGGUAAAAUAUUCAAAAAUGUGAGUAGACAAAAAUAAAGGUCUAGAAAAUUGCAUAUGAACAUACUAACCCCACUGUAAAAAUAGUUAUGCAAAACUGAAUUUUCCUCUUCAUUAUAUUCGUACUAAAAUCAAUUCAUUCACAUAUUUAUAUACAUAUAUGCCAAUCAUACCCAAGGUUAAUAAAACUCUCUUAAAAGCAUUGAAAUCAAUUUAAAACUACCACCUAGGUGUACCCUUUUAAUUCUGUCCAUUCCUGAUAACCGUCAAUUCCCGAUAAUCCGUCAAUUCCUGAUAAUCCGUCAAUUCCCCUGACAGGUCUCGGUGACACAAAGUCAACCCGAGCCGCAAACUGGCAGGAUUCAGGGGACCGUAGUCAGCCUGAUCCGCAUUCCUAGCUCCCACGGUCCGGGCGUCCCCGAAACUAGUGAGGCAGAUGUCAAGCGCGCUGAUAGAACUGAAGGCAACCUGGAUGUCCUUGGACAUCGUCAUAUCCGAAGGCAACUUGUUUCUAUAACUGGGUACCUAAGGUUGCUUAAGAAAAUAUAAAAUUUCUGAAAGAUCUGAUGAAUAACUGAAUUUUUGUUAAAUCUAGAACUCUACUGCCAUUUAUCUGAUAUAUAUCUCAAUCUUUACUUUCCAUAUCUUUUUAGCACAUUCAACUAGGCAGCAUAUAAAUAAAGAUAUUUAACUUCAACAAAUCAUGCUAGGAAAACCAUAAUCAAUAAAACUUAUUCAAGAUCAAAUAAUGAAAUUCAUUUGCAUAAAAUUAUUUAUAAAACAAAAGUCCACCCACUCCUGGUCCGAGCUAGCUGGACCUCCUAAAGGUCCCUCCUGCAGGUCCGCUUGGCCCCGGGUGCCUUGGCUCGACGAUCAAUUCCAUCAUUAAAGCUCUUGAAUGAAGCUUUCUGUCUCUUGAAAAACUGAGUUAUGGCGGCCAGAAUUGAUCGGAAAAGACCACAAACAGCCAUUGUUCAAAACAACCCAGUUUUUGGGCUCGGGUUUGGCUCAAAAUUGAGCUCAAACUUGGUGGUUUUGAUUUGAAAUUGUAGGAGGCUUUAAAAAAGGAAGAAAGAGGAAGAUUUCGUUGCUUGUGGUGUUGAAAAUGGCGGCCGGAUGAGCAAGCUUGCCAGCCAACAAUGGCUGGCUAUUCUGUCACAGGGAGGAGAAGAAAAAUCGCAGGGGAGAAGAGAGAGAGAGGAGAAGAAUCAGAUUUAAAAAUCUGGCUUGCAAAAAUUACGAUUUUACCCCUCAAUGUAAUUUGAUCGUAUUUCCUUCGUUAUAACCCCGAUUCGAGCUCACAACAUGUCUACGGACUUACUUCAUCGUGCUCUACACAACGGUACAAGCGAAAUUUUCAAAUUCUUCUCCGGUAAAAAAAAAAUCAACUUUCUCCAAUAAACUAUUUUAUGGGCAAAAUUGUCUUUCCUUCUAAUAAAUUAAUAAUUAAAUAUUAUUUAAGAAACGGGUUGUUACAGCAGGCUUCUGUGAGUCUGCAAUAAGGGAGAGAAUCGUAGGGGAUCCUGACAUUGCAGUGGAAGUAAGAUGUGAUAUGAGAAUGUGAAGAAUUUGAUUGGAAGAAUGUGAUUUGAGUGAUUUGAUCUAUGAAAUUGAUGUAGGAACUGGAUUUCAGAGGUAUGUGUUUAGGGAUUUUGAUAAGAGGAUUUGAGGGAUUUGGAUUUGGGGAAUUUAAAUAUGAGGAAUUUGAUUUAGGGUUUUGGAUUUGAAUAUGAGAAAUUUGGAUCGAUUGCUCUGAUACCAUGCUAAAAUAUGAAUAUGGUUUGAAUACUUUAGGUUACGUUUUAUUCUUCUCUAUAAGAAGAUAUAGAUAGGAGUUUACAUGAGUGCUUUACAAGAAAAUAGAUACAAUAAUCAAUUAGAAUAGUAUCUCCUAAUUAUACAAUCAUUUGUCAACUAUAUAAAAUAAGAAAAUAAAUCCCUUAAUUAAUCAAGAAAAUAAAUCUCCUUAAUUAAUCAAGAAAAUAAAUCUCCUUGAUUAAUUAGGAGAUUCCCGUCAACAAAGACUAUGGUGCUACUUUUCUAGUAGAAAAUUUUGAUAUAUUUCCAUAAAAUUUGGUCCUAUUUCAAAAAAUAAAUAAAUAAUAAUAAUAAAAGGUAGAUUUCUUUCCAAAGGUAAGAAAUUUUUUUAAUUUUUUUUAAUUCAAGAUAAAAUAAAAAUAUAAAAUAUAAAAAAACUCCAUCCUUGAAAUUUGAAUCAGGAAGUCUUUAACAAGUAAAAAUUAUACAUGCAAUUGUCUAAAUUAAGGAUCUUAAUAUAAUUUACGAAAAGUGAGGAUGACACAUUAGCAUAUUACCACGGAAUGAGCAUACAAUGCGUUAUAAGUACUCAAUAUAAACUUUCUUAGCGCUGAAUUUUUUUUAAUUUUUCUCAAUAGAGUAAAAACGAACAUCAGAGCUAGAAAGGGCCAUCACAUCAAUAGUACAUUUGUUCACCACGUGAUGUUUUACAAAAGAGAGACCCCCACCAAAAUACUACUUUAAUAUCAACCAACAACAUCCAAUCUGUUCCAAGUUCCAGUCCACCAUCUCAACUUCAUCAGCUUGAUCAAAUGCCUUCCAAUUCUAGUAGGGACGCUCGCCCUCAUAAUUACCAGGAGGAUCGUAGCUGCAAAUGACAAAAACCCAAUUGUUGUCACACUUAGCCCUAGCACAACCAAGAUGAACCGAGUUCCUCUAAACCACCUGAGUAUAAUGCCCACAUUCAUCCCCAACACAUUUGUUGGAGCCGUAGUUAGCAGCUGGAUUUUUUUCUUUCUUAGAGCAUUUUUACCCAUUUAUCAUGGUAAAAGUCUAGGGGAGACAAGGGCAAUUACUCUUCACGUGAAUAGUAUCUGCCCUAGCAAUUUUUUUCUUGUUUUUCCACCCAUUGUCAUGGCAAUCGAAGGACAAUUAGUAUUCACUUGAGAUUACUUUAAUUUGUAUGUAUGAGAUUAAUAAUAUAAAAAAAUCUAGAUAUGUAUAAAAAAAUAAUAUAUUCUCAAUUUUUUGUAAUUUUUCAAAAAAAUUUUUAGGCAACAACUCGAGUUGUUCUUGCUUGCUGGGCUUGAUUGAGUCCACGCCUUGCCUGGGUUGUUUUGUACCACUUGAGGAGCAUUUCUUGGCCUUGGCAACCUUUUGACAGGGCUGGACUUCGCGCUGGAAGUCCUCUUACUCUUUUUUUAAAAAAAAUUCUCACUUUUUAAAAUUUUAUUUGCAAUAAUAGUGGGCUACGGUAUUUUAGGAAUAAUGCUGGGUGAAAAGAUAGGAUUAUGUUUUAUCAAAUUUACAUGGUGGAAGGGAAGAUAAGGUGGGUGGGGAAAUAGUGUGAGAAUGUGAAGGUAAAAAGUCUCACAUUGGAAAGUUAGAAAACUUUGCAAUGGCUUAUAAGGAGUUGGGUUACUCUCCCCAUUUCCAAUUAGUUUUGGGGUAGAACCUCAACUUUCUUCAUGGCAUCAGAGCAAGUUGACCACGUGUUAAAGCCCAAUGACCACAUGUGCUCCAUGUCACCCAAAAUGUGUUGUGCACGUGUUAGGCUUGAAAAUUGGCCACACGAGUGGGGGCGUGCGAGAAUGUGAAGGUAAAAAGUCCCACAUUAGAAAGGUAGAAAACCUUGCAAGGGCUUAUAAGGAUUUGGAUUACUUCUCCCAUUGCAAAUUGGUUUUAUGGUGGAAUCUCAACUUCCUUCAAAUAGGACAGGGAGGUGAAAAUAGCAGCACUCAAAAGAAAAUACGUAUGGUUAUUUAGCCUUAAUAAUGGAUAAUUAGUCCUUUAUUAAAAUUUUAGAUAAACCAAUUAGAAUUUUGUCUAGUUGUAUUUUCAAAAAGAGAGAGAUUGACUACCAAAAAAAAACAUAAAGAGAAUGAGAUAAUAUUUCGGUUAGAUUUUACAAAAAUGAAAUUAUAUUAUUCAUUUCCUUUUUUUUAAUUUUAAAUUCAUUCUCUUGUAACCUUUCACAAUAUCAUGUCAAGUGCUAGUCCCAUAAAGGAAUGUUGUGAGUGUGGGAAAGUAUUUGUAUACACCCAUUACAUUUUAUUUUUCUAAUUUCGCAAAAGCAAAACAACACAAGACUUCUCAACAGGCCUCAUGUAGGAGUGCGUGUGCGCACGCAAGCAUACAUACAUUGUCUAGUAGGGGCGCUCGUCCUCGGGCUGGUACAUGGGAUCGUAGCUGCAAACCACAUAGUUCUGUCCAUUGUUGCACUUUGAAAUGCCACAUCCGACCUCGGUGGUUUUGCCCCAUACCACAGCAAGGUAGUGACCACAUUCGUCUCUGACGCAUUUGUUGGACUUUUCGUCAUAGAACUCCUUCUCAGUGACCCAAUACUUGGUGGCCGCUGCGCCACUCAUGCCGUCACCGGAGGCCAAGUUCUCACCCCAACGCCCCAUCGAGUGCUCCAUGGCACAGUCGCCAACUCUUUUAUCCGCAUAUUCUUGGGCAUACUGGGCCAAGGUCGUAUUCCACUUGAGGGGUUUGUUGCCGACCUCUUUACGAGCCUUGUUGUGCUCCUCGACGAAGCCAUCGAUCUCUUCUUUAGAAAUGUUUGCAAAUACAAGAGUGAAGACCAAGGCGACGCAGCAAAUGGCCAAAAGAAGCUUCGUGUUGAACGCCAUUUUUGUUUCUUGAUAUGAGAAGUUUAAGGUCUUUUCUUUGUAGUAGAGAAGGUUGGAUUGUUAGAUGUUGAUUGAAAGGGGGCAUGGGAUUGUGCAUAUUUAUAGAGACACAGGCAAGUUUGUGUCCGCAAAGAGGGUCUUCGAAAAUAGGCCCUUAAAAAUGGGAGGGCUGAAUAUUAUUUUUUUGGAUUCUAUAGAUUGCCAUAGAGGAGGGGCCAAAUAAAGAAAAGAAAGAAGAGAUCCAUAGAAAUUUGUGGUGUCAAAUCUUUUGGGCUUGGAAUGCGUCCACACCAAGUUUUACUCACAAUAAGGAGGGAAGACAAUUUCUUGGGUGAGUUUCCUUUUUUUUUUUCCCUUAAAAAAGUAAGUUCUUCUUUUCUGUUUUUCUUUUCUUUUCUUCUUUUCAGCUGAACUAGUUUUUUUUUCUUUCUUUUUCUUUUUCGAAUGGAUAAGAUUGAAAGAAGAAUUAACAGGGUAGAACACUAUUGGGUGUCGUGAGUAAUAUGUCUUUUGUUUUUCCUUCAGUUGUGUCUGUUUUUCCUCAUGACUUAGUUGGCCUCCUUUCUCCGUUUUUGGUGUCACGCGUUUCUAAUUUAGCCAUAUUCUUUUUUAUAAGAAUUCACUCGUGUUUUUUUUUUCCCUAAUGAACAAUCUCAUGUUAUAAUGUACGUUUAUUUAUUAAUAUUAUAUCAUCGGAUGCAAAGGAUUUGUAACUCAAAUAAUUUAGAGGUCCUAAGUUCGAUUCGACCUUCCCUCAAUAUGACUUGUAUAAAUAAAAAAUAAAAAAAUAAAUAUCAUAAGAUAUAAAUUUGUUGUCCACUUACAUCAAUUUCUAAUGUUACAGUGACCAAAAAAAAAAAAAAACACUUUCUUCAAUUUUUUAUAAUCUUAAUGGUUUUUUGAGUUACUUGUGUCUCUACUAGUGAACUGUUACUUUUUUUUCUUUUUCUUUUUUAUAGAAAUAUCGGCUCCAAAAUCUCUACCCUCGUCAAAGCUAUUGCACAUAUUUAGUUUUCGUGACCAAUCUAUUUCGUCACCCAUUCUGAAAAUAACCAAACCAACUAACAUAUUCGACAAAUAAACUACAUCUUUCACGACCAUAACAUUCAUUGCUGAAAUGUUCUGGCGACCAAACAUUUAUUUCAUCGCCAAAUAAUUCCAUGUUCACGGGAAUUUUUGGUAUUUUGGCAGCAACUCAGACUCGAUGGCGACCAACUUGGAGCUGUAUAGUGACGACAAAUUUAGUCGCUAAAAUAUUUUAGCGACAAAAUUUUGUUUCGUCACAUGGUAUCUUUAGCCACGAGCUUUCAACGACGACCUUAGAGACCAAAAAUAUUUGUCGCUACUUAUAUUUGGCGACGAAAUUUGGUGUUAUAGUGACCAUCUUGUUUCGUCACUAAAAAGGAUUAUCCUUGUAGUGGUUCUUUCUUUCUGGAAGCUGAUAAAUAAACUCUGUGCCUUUUGAAAUCAAAUUAUCAUGGGAUAUUUCAUUAGUGUUAUUAGUUUUAGGGAAAUAUGUUACUUGAAUUACUUUCUCAGCAAGUGAUUGGUGGGGGCAAAAACUCAUAAAACGGUUCAAUUUCCUCCUCCUGAGUUUGACAGCGUGGAGACAACUAAUUAUUUUCCUCUGGCGACCAGUUGCUGUCUAUUGGCAAUCGGUCGCUGUCUAUUGGCGACCGGUCGUUUUGAAGCAUGUUUUUCGUGUUUGAAGAACUAAGGGGGGAGACCGGUCGCUUUCCACUGGCAACCAGUCGUUUUGAAGCUGAGUGACAUCCUAUGGAAAAAAAUCAAAAAUUUGAGGAGGGGUGGAUUCUCGAUUCUCCUCUUGUACUGCUGAAAAAUAUAAGACAUGUUCCCGAAACACAACAUCCAUAGAGGUAUAGACCUUCUGACUAGGAGGAUGAUAACACCAGUAUCAUUCCUUAUGAGGUGCAUAGCCAAUGAAACCACACUUUUCAGCUCGGUGAUCCAAUUUGCUUCAUUAAUGAUCAUGUAAGUGGACAAAUACAACAUAGACGAAAUUCGGGGUUCCAGGUUUGGGGUGGGAGGUAUUUGGAUAUGGUAGUGUUUGAAGUGGCGUUUGAAAAUUUAGGAUACUAGAGGGAAUUUGAUUGAUGAGGUAUGCCACAGAGACGAUGGCUUCACCCCAAAAAGGUCGUGGCAUAUUGGCACCAAAGAGAGAGGCACGAACUACUUCUAAUAAUUGUAUGUUCUUUCUUUCAACCACUUCAUUUUGUUGAGAAGUGUAGGGGCAUGAGCGUUGAUGUAUGAUGUCAUGAUCUUGUAAGAACUGGUUAAGAGCAUGGUUGAGAAAUUCUCCGUCAUUCUCAUAACGAAGAACAUGAAUUAUGGCAUGAAACUGAGUCCCCACCAUUUGAUGGAACCGUUGAAACUUGGAACUGACUUCCCCUUUAGUUUUGAGAAUGGAAACCUAAAUCAUGCUUGUGCAAUCAUCUACAAACGUAACAAACCAUCGAGCUCCUGCCGGGGUGGCAAUUUUGGCAGGUUCACAAACAUCAGAAUGAACAAGAGAAAAUGGAACUAAACUCUUAUUUGAACUUAAUGGGAACGGGACAUGAUGGCUCUUAGCCAAUUCACACAUAUCACACUGGAAGCUAGAAACAUCAAGACUGUAAAAUAAUGAUCAAAACAACUUCUUAUGAUAACCGAACAAGGCAUGCACAAGACGUUUAUGUCAUAACCAAACUUUACCUCUCUCCCCUUUAGAACAAGUUCCAAUGGUUGUGAAAGCUUGACCAACCUUGGUCUCACUAUACGAUGCCCAUUCUAAGUAGUAGAGUUUGCCCCGCUGAGUACCACAACCAAUCAUCUUUCCCAGGAAGAUGUCCUGAAAAACACAAUGAUUCAGCCAAAAUGUUACAGUACACCCCAAAGUAGUAGUAAGUUGUGCAACAGACAACAAGUUAUGGUCCAAAGAUGGAACAAUCAAUACAGAAUCCAGAUGUAGGAAAGUAGAGAGAGAUAGAAAACCCUCAUCAACCACAGAGGAUGGGGUACCAUUAGCAUUUGACACCACCGACAGAGUGGAUGAUUUUCGACUAAUAAGUUGGCCAGGAUCAAAUGUCAUGUGAUCCGUAGCACCCGAGUUUGCUGAUUUUUUAGAGGACGUAUGAAAAGUAGAACCUUUGGUGGUGCGAUAGAAGCACGAGUUCGAGUAGCCGAGUCAGCAGGAGUGACCGCAUGCUUCUGUGAGUCUGCAAUAAGGGAGAAAAUAGUAAGGGGUCCUAACAUCGCAGUGGAAGUAAUAUGUGAUAUGAGUAUGUGAGGAAUUUGAUUGGAGGAAUGUGAUUGGAGGAAUUUGAUGUGUGAAUUUGAUGUAGAAAUUAGAUUUGAGAGGUAUGUGUUUGGGGAUUUUGAUAAGAGGAUUUGAGGACUUUAGAUUUGAGGGAUUUGGAUUUCGAGAAUUUAAAUAUGAGGAAUUUGAUUUAGGGUUUUGGAUUUGAAUAUGAGAAAUUUGAUGUAAGGGUUUAGAGACAACUUAUGAUCGAUUGCUCUGAUACCAUGCUAAAAUAUAAAUAUGGUUUGAAUACUUUAGGUUAAGUUUUAUUCUUCUCCGUAAAUAGGUAUAUAUAGGAGUUUACAUGAGUGCUUUACAAGAAAUAGAUACAGUAAUCAAGUAGAAUACUAUCUCGUAAUUAUACAAUCAUUUGUCAAUUAUAUAAAAUAAAAAAGUAAAUCCCUUAUUUAAUCAAGGAAAUAAAUUUCUUUGAUUAAUUAACAGACUCGCGUCAACAAAGACUGUGGUGCUACUCUUCUAGUAUAAAAUUUUGAUAUAUUUCUAUAAAAUUUGGUCUCGUUUCAAACAAAAAAAAAAAGAAGGGUAGAUUUUGUUUCCAAAGGUAAGAAAUUUUUUUAAUUUUUUUAAAUUCAAGAUAAAAUUAAAAAUUAAAAAUUAAAAAAAAACUCCAUCCUUGAAAUUUGAAUCAGGAAGUCUUUAACAAGUAAAAAUUAUACAAGCGAUUGUUUAAAUUAAGGAUCUUAAUAUAAUUUACGAAAAGCGACGAUGACACAUUAGCAUAUUACCACGGAAUGAGCAUACAAUGCGUUAUAAGUACUCAAUAUAAACUUUCUUAGCGCUGAAUUUUUUUUAAUUUUUCUCAAUAGAGUAAAAACGAACAUCAGAGCUAGAAAGGGUCAUCACAUCAAUAGUACAUUUGUUCACCACGUGAUGUUUUUCUCAACUUCAUCAGCUUGAUCAAAUGCCUUCCAAUUCUAGUAGGGACGCUCGCCCUCAUAAUUACCAGGAGGAUCGUAGCUGCAAAUGACAAAAACCCAAUUGUUGUCACACUUAGCCCUAGCACAACCAAGAUGAACCGAGUUCCUCUAAACCACCUGAGUAUAAUGCCCACAUUCAUCCCCAACACAUUUGUUGGAACCGUAGUUAGCAGCUGGAUUUUUUUCUUUCUUAGAGCAUUUUUACCCAUUUAUCAUGGUAAAAGUCUAGGGGAGACAAGGGCAAUUACUCUUCACGUGAAUAGUAUCUGCCCUAGCAAUUUUUUUGUUGUUUUUCCACCCAUUGUCAUGGCAAUCGAAGGACAAUUAGUAUUCACUUGAGAUUACUUUAAUUUGUAUGUAUGAGAUUAAUAAUAUAAAAAAAUCUAGGUAUGUAUAAAAAAAUAAUAUAUUCUCAAUUUUUUGUAAUUUUUCAAAAAAAAUUUUAGGCAACAACUCGAGUUGUUCUUGCUUGCUGGGCUUGAUUGAGUCCACGCCUUGCCUGGGUUGUUUUGUACCACUUGAGGAGCAUUUCUUGGCCUGGGCAACCUUUUGACAGGGUUGGACUUAUUUUAUUUGAAAUAAUAGUGGGCUACGGUAUUUUAGGAAUAAUGCUGGGUGAAAAGAUAGGAUUGUGUUUUAUCAAAUUUACAUGGUGGGAGGGAAGAUAAGGUGGGUGGGGAAAUAGUGUGAGAAUGUGAAGGUAAAAAGUCUCACAUUGGAAAGUUAGAAAACUUUGCAAUGGCUUAUAAGGAGUUGGGUUACUCUCCCAAUUUCCAAUUAGUUUUGGGGUGGAACCUCAACUUUCUUCAUGGCAUCAGAGCAAGUUGACCACGUGUUAAAGCCCAAUGACCACAUGAGCUCCAUGUCACCCAAAAUGUUUUGUGCACGUGUUAGGCUUGAAAAUUGGCCACACGAGUGGGGGCGUGCGAGAAUGUGAAGGUAAAAAGUCCCACAUUAGAAAGUUAAAAAACCUUGCAAAGGCUUAUAAGGAUUUGGAUUACUUCUCCCAUUGCAAAUUGGUUUUAUGGUGGAAUCUCAACUUCCUUCAAAUAGGACAGGGAGGUGAAAAUAGUAGCACUCAAAAAAAAAAUAUGUACGGUUAUUUAGCCUUAAUAAUGGAUAAUUAGUUCUUUAUUAAAAUUUUGGAUAAACCAAUUAGAAUUUUGUCUAGUUGUAUUUUCAAAAAAAGAGAGAUUGACUAACAAAAAAAAAACACAUUAAGAGAAUGAGAUAAUAUUUCGGUUAGAUUUUACGAAAAUGAAAUUAUAUUAUUCUUUUCUUUUUUUUGUAUUUAUUAUUCAUUCUCUUGUAACCUUUCACAAUAUCAUGUCAAGUGCUAGCUAGUCACAUAAAGGAAUGUUGUGAGUGUGGGAAAGUAUUUGUAUACACCCAUUACAUUUUAUUUUUCUAAUUUCACAAAAGAAAAAAAACACAAGACUUCUCAACAAGCCUCAUGUAGGUGUGCGUGUGCGCACGCAAGCAUACAUACAUUGUCUAGUAGGGGCGCUCGUCCUCGGGCUGGUACAUGGGAUCGUAGCUGCAAACCACAUAGUUCUGUCCAUUGUUGCACUUUGAAAUGCCACAUCCAACCUCGGUGGUUUUGCCCCAUACCACAGCAAGGUAGUGACCACAUUCGUCUUUGACGCAUUUGUUGGACUUUUCGUCAUAGAACUCCUUCUCGGUGACCCAAUACUUGGUGGCAGCUGCGCCGCUCAUGCCGUCACCAGAGGCCAAGUUCUCACCCCAACGCCCCAUCGAGUGCUCCAUGGCGCAGUCGCCAACUCUUUUAUCCGCAUAUUCUUGGGCAUACUGGGCCAAGGUCGUGUUCCAAUUGAGGGGUUUGUUGCCGACCUCUUUACGAGCCUUGUUGUGCUCCUCGACGAAGCCAUCGAUCUCUUCUUUAGAAAUGUUUGCAAAGACAAGAGUGAAGACCAAUGCGACGCAGCAAAUGGCCAAAAGAAGCUUCGUGUUGAACGCCAUUUUUGUUUUUUGAUAUGAGAAGUUUAAGGUCUUUUCUUUGUAGUAGAGAAGGUUGGAUUGUUAGAUGUUGAUUGAAAGGGGGCAUGGGAUUGUGCAUAUUUAUAGAGACACAGGCAAGUUUGUGUCCGCAAAGAGGGUCUUCGAAAAUAGGCCCUUAAAAAUGGGAGGGCUGAAUAUUAGUUUUUUGGAUUCUAUAGAUUGCUGUAGAGGCGGGGCCAAAUAAAGAAAAGAAAGAAGAGAUCCAUAGAAAUUUGUGGUGUCACAUCUUUUGUGCUUGGAAUGCGUCCACACCAAGUUUUACUCACAAUAAGGAGGGAAGACAAUUUCUUUGGUGAGUUUCCUUUUUUUUUUCCCCUUAAAAAAGUAAGUUCUUCUUUUCUGUUCUUCUUUUCUGUUCUUCUUUUCUUUUCUUCUUUCAGGUGAACUAUUUUUUUUUUUUUUUCUUGUUCUUUUUCUAAAGGAUAAGAUGGAAACAAGAAGUAACGAGGUAGAACAUUAUUGGGUGUCUUGAGUAAUAUGUCUUUUGUUUUUCCUUCAGUUGUGUCUGUUUUUCCUCAUGACUUAGUUGGCCUCCUUUCUCCUAUGCGUCUAUAUGCUAUUGUUUAAACCUGUCUUCUGGUCCUAAUCCCCUUUGUUCACUAAAAUAACUGAUAAGGAAAAUCACCAUACUCUAGUUUUUGGUGUCACACGUUUCAAAUUUAGCCAUAUUCUUUUUUAUAAGAAUUCACUCUUUUUUUUCUUUUCUUUUUUUCUAAUGAACAAUCUCAUGUUAUAAUGUGCGUUUAUUUAUUAAUAUUAUAUCAUCGGAUGCAAUGGAUUUUUAACUCAAAUAGUUAAGAGGUCCUAAGUUCGAUUCCACCCUCCCUCAAUAUGACUUGUAUAAAAAAUAAAAAUAAAAAUUAUAUCAUCAGAUAUAAAUUUGUUGUCCACUUACAUCAAUUUCUAAUGUUACAGUGACCAAAAAAAAAAAACUUUCUUCAAUUUUUUAUUAUCUUAAUGGUUUUUUGAGUUACUUGUGUCUCUACUAGUGAACUGUUACUUUUUUUUCUUUUUCUUUUUUAUAGAAAUAUUGGCUCCAAAAUCUCUGCCCUCGUCAAAGCUAUUGCACAUCUUCAGUUUUGGCGACCAAUCUAUUUCGUCGCCCAUUCUGAAAAUAACCAAACCAGCUAACAUAUGCGACAAAUAAACUACAUCUUUCACGACCAUAACAUUCAUCGCUGAAAUGUUCAGGCGACCAAACAUUUAUUUCGUCGCCAAAUAAUUUCAUGUUUGCGGGAAUUUUUGGUAUUUUGGCAGCAACUCACUCUCAAUGGCAACCAACUUGGAGCUGUGUAGUGAAGACAAAUUUAGUCGCUAAAAUAUUUUCAGCGACAAAAUUUUGUUUCGUCGCAUGGUAUCUUUAGCCCCGAGCUUUCAACGAUGACCUUAGAGACCAAAAAUAUUCGUCGCUACUUAUAUUUGGCGAUUAAAUUUGGUGUUAUAGUGACCAUCUUGUUUCGUCACUAAAAGGGAUUAUCCUUGUAGUGCUUCUUUCUUUCUAGAAGCUGAUAAAUAGACUCUGUGCCUUCUAAAAUCAAAUUAUCAUGGGAUAUUUCAUUAGUGUUAUGAAUUUUAGGAAAAGAUGUUACUUGAAUGACUUUCUCAGCAGGUGAUUGGUGGGGGCAAAAACUCAUAAAACGGUUCAAUUUCCUCCUCCUGAGUUUGACAGCGUGGAGAUAACUAAUUAUUUUCCUCUGGCGACCAGUCGCUGUCUAUUGGCAAUCGGUCGCUGUCUAUUGGCGACCGGUCAUUUUGAAGCAUGUUUUCCGUGUUUGAAGAACUAAGGGGGGGACCGGUCGCUUUCCACUGGCGACUAGUCGUUUUGAAGCUGAGUGACAUCCUGUGGAAAAAAAUCAAAAAUUUGAGGAGGGGUGGAUUCUCGAUUCUCCUCUUGUGCCGCUGAAAAAUAUAAGACAUGUUCCCGAAACACAACAUCCAUAGAGGUAUAGACCUUCUAACUAGGAGGAUGAUAACACCUGUAUCUUUUCUUAUGAGUGCAUAGCCAAUGAAACCACACUUUUCAGCUCGGUGAUCCAAUUUGCUUCGUUGGUGAUCAUGUAAGUGGACAAAUACAACAUAGCCGAAAUUCGGGGUUCCAGGUUUGGGGUGGGAGGUAUUUGGAUAUGGUAGUGUUUGAAGUGGCGUUUGAAAAUUUAGGAUACUAAAGGGAAUUCGAUUGAUAAGGUAUGCUACAGAGACGAUGGCUUCGCCCCAAAAAGAUCGUGGCAUAUUGGCACCGAAGAAAGAGGCACGAACUACUUCUAAUAAUUGUAUGUUCUUUCUUUCAACCACUUCAUUCUGUUGAGGAGUGUAAGGGCAUGAGCGUUGAUGUAUGAUGCCAUGAUCUUGUAAGAACUGGUUAAGAGCAUGGUUGAGAAAUUCUCCGCCAUUUUCAUAAAGAACAUGAAUUAUGGCAUGAAACUGAGUCUCCACCAUUUGAUGGAACCGUUGAAACUUAGAACUGACUUCCCUUUUAGUUUUGAGAAUGGAAACCUAAGUCAUGCUUGUGCAAUCAUCUACAAACGUAACAAACCAUCGAGCUCCUGCCGAGGUGGCAAUUUUAGCAGGUCCAUAAACAUCAGAAUGAACAAGAGAAAAUGGAAUUAAACUCUUGUUUGAACUUAAUAGGAACGGGAACACGAUGGCUCUUAGCCAAUUCACAAGUAUCACACUGGAAGCUAGAAACAUCAAGACUGUAAAAUAAUGAUGGAAACAACUUCUUAUGAUAACCGAACAAGACAUGCACAAGAUGUUUAUGCCAUAACCAAACUUUACCUACCUCCCCUUCAGAACAAGUUCCACGUGUUGUGAAAGCUUGACCAACCUUGGUCUUAACAUACGGUGCCAGUCUAAGUUGUAGAGUUUGCCCCGCCGAGUACCACAACUAAUCGUCUUUCCCAUGAGGACGUCCUGAAAAACACAAUGAUUCGCCAACAUGUUACAAUACACCACAAAGUAGUAGGAAGUUGUGCAACAGACAACAAGUUAUGGUCCAAAGAUGGAACAAUCAAUACAGAAUUCAGAUAUAGGGAAGUAGAGAGAGAUAGAGAGCCCUCCUCAACCACAGGGGAGGGGGUACCAUUAGCAUCAUCCACCAAGUUGGCCAGGAUCAAAUGUCAUGUGAUUCGUACCCGAGUUUGCGGAUUUUUUAGAGGACGUAUGAAAACUAGAACCUUUGGUGGUGCGAUAGAAGCACGAGUCCUAGUAGCCGAGUCAGUAGGAGUGACCGCAUGCUUCUGUGAGUCUGCAAUAAGGGAGAAAAUAGUAGGGCGUCCUAACAUCACAGUGGAAGUAAUAUGUGAUAUGAGUAUGUGAGGAAUUUGAUUGGAGGAAUUUGAUGUGUGAUUUUGAUGUAGAAAUUGGAUUUGAGAGGUAUGUGUUUAGGGAUUUUGAUAAGAGGAUUUGAGGACUUUGGAUUUGAGGGAUUUGGAUUUCGAGAAUUUAAAUAUGAGGAAUUUGAUUUAGGGUUUUGGAUUUAAAUAUGAGAAAUUUGAUGUAAGGGUUUAGAGACAACUUAUGAUCGAUUGCUCUGAUACCAUGCUAAAAUAUAAAUAUGGUUUGAAUACUUUACGUUAAGUUUUAUUCUUCUCCGUAAAGAGGUAUAUAUAAGAGUUUACAUGAGUGCUUUACAAGAAAUAGAUACAAUAAUCAAGUAGAAUACUAUCUCGUAAUUAUACAAUCAUUUGUCAAUUAUAUAAAAUAAAAAAGUAAAUCCCUUAUUUAAUCAAGGAAAUAAAUCUCCUUGAUUAAUUAACAGAUUCGUGUCAACAAAGACUGUGGUGCUACCCUUCUAGUAGAAAUUUUUUAUAUAUUUCUAUAAAAUUUGGUCUCGUUUCAAACAAAAAAAAUAAAAGGGUAGAUUUCUUUCCAAAGGUAAGAACUUUUUUUAAUUUUUUUUAAUCCAAGAUGUAAAAAAAAAAAACUCCGUUCAUGAAAUUUGAAUCAGGAAGUCUUUAACAAGUAAAAAUUAUACAAGCGAUUGUCUAAAUUAAUCUACUCUACGAAAAAGAAACAUCAACAAGGAAAGUGACAAUGACACAUUAGCAUAAUACCACGGAAUGAGCAUACAAUGAGUUAUAAGUACUAAACUUUCUUAGCGCUGAAUUUUUUUUAAUUUUUCUCAAUAGAGAGGUGGAGUUAGGAUUUUAUGUGUGGAGGGGAGGGGUCAAUAUAUUAGGAUUUAAAGUUGAUUUCUUUCCCAGUGUUAAGCUUGUAAAUAAAUAAAUAACAGAUUAUCUUUAAUUUCCUAUUUUCUUAAAUAUACUUGUGAAAGAAAGAUUUGAUUUGCUGUUUCUUUUAAUUUUUAUUAAUUAUGUUGGUAGAAUCUAGGAGUAAGUUUGCCAUAUUGCUAAGAAAAGAGUCUUUUAGUUGGAGGGGGAAAUGUAAAUCCCUCUUUCUCUUUAUUGUGGGGGGCCACAAGCAUUAAUUUAAUAUAUAUAUUAUCCUAAGUUGUAUAAUACAAAGACAAUAUAUAUACUAUUUUAGAAUUUUGGGAGGGCAAGGCCCUUGCAGGCCUAAGCACACCUCCACCCCUGGAGAACAAUACAUUCUUUGAGAGUAAAAACGAACAUAAGAGCUAGAAAGGGUCAUCACAUCAAUAGUACAUUUGUUCACCACAUGAUGUUUUACAAAAGAGAGACCCCCACCUUCACGUGAACUCCACCCAAACAUUAUUUAGUCCAAAAUACUACUUUAAUAUCAACCAACAACAUCCAAUCUGUUCCAAGUUCCAGUCCACCAUCUCAACUUCAUCAGCUUGAUCAAAUGCCUUCCAAUUCUAGUAGGGACGCUCGUCCUCAUAAUUACCAGGAGGGUCGUAGCUGCAAAUGACAAAAACCCAAUUGUUGUCACACUUAGCCCUAGCACAACCAAGAUGAACCGAGUUCCUCCAAACCACCCGAGUAUAAUGCCCACAUUCAUCCCCAACACAUUUGUUGGAGCCGUAGUUAGCAGCUGGAUUUUUUUCCAUGUCACCCAAAAUGUGUUGUCCACGUGUUAGGCUUGAAAAUUCGUCACACGAGUGGGGGUAGAGGUGGGCACUGUUCGGUUUGGACCGAUUUUUGCCUCAAAUUAGAACUGAUCCGGUACUAUUUAUCCGGUUUGGUUCAGUUCUGUUUUAAUUAAAAAAAUUCAAAAACUAUCUGGUUCGGUUUGAACCGGUUUCGGUCCGAUUUCGAUUUCGGUUCAGUUUGAACCGGAUUAACAAAAUUAUUUUUUUAAAUUGUUUUUUAAUGCAAUUCUCAACUGAAAUAUUUUUUUUUUUACUUGAAAAUUAACAAAUUAUUCAAUUUCAUAUAAAAAAUAAAUAUUAAAGUUAGAAAAGAUAGAUAUUUUGAUAUUAAACUUGGAUAAAUAUUAGGUUUUUCUUAGUGAAAUUAAAAAUAUAGCAUUAAAUAUAAAUAUAUAUUGAAAUUAUAUAUUUUUUUAAUUUGACCGGUUCGGUUCGAUUUUUGAAGACAUGGAACCGGAUCCAAAACCGGUCCAAAUCGGUUCAGUUCGAUUUUUGACCAGUUGUUGACUUUUUGGUCAACUCGAUUUUUUCGGGUUUGGUUCAGUGCGGUUCGGCUCGGAUUUUUGGUUCGCCGAUUUAAGUGCCCACCCCUAAGUGGGGGCGUGCGAGAAUGUAAAAGUAAAAAGUCCCACAUUAGAAAAUUAGAAAACCUUGCAAGGGUUUAUAAGGAUUUAGAUUAAUUCCCCCGUUGCAAAUUGGUUUUAUGGUGAAAUCUCAACUUCCUUCAAAUAGGACAAGGAAGUGGAAAUAGUAGCACUCAAAAAAAAAAAAUGUACGGUUAUUUAGCCUUAAUAAUGGAUAAUUAGUCCUUUAUUAAUUUUUUGGAUAAACCAAUUAGAAUUUUGUCUAGUUGUAUUUUCAAAAAAAGAGAGAUUGACUAACAAAAAAAAAACACAUUAAGAGAAUGAGAUAAUAUUUCGGUUAGAUUUUACGAAAAUGAAAUUAUAUUAUUCUUUUCUUUUUUUUGUAUUUAUUAUUCAUUCUCUUGUAACCUUUCACAAUAUCAUGUCAAGUGCUAGCUAGUCACAUAAAGGAAUGUUGUGAGUGUGGGAAAGUAUUUGUAUACACCCAUUACAUUUUAUUUUUCUAAUUUCACAAAAGAAAAAAAACACAAGACUUCUCAACAAGCCUCAUGUAGGUGUGCGUGUGCGCACGCAAGCAUACAUACAUUGUCUAGUAGGGGCGCUCGUCCUCGGGCUGGUACAUGGGAUCGUAGCUGCAAACCACAUAGUUCUGUCCAUUGUUGCACUUUGAAAUGCCACAUCCAACCUCGGUGGUUUUGCCCCAUACCACAGCAAGGUAGUGACCACAUUCGUCUUUGACGCAUUUGUUGGACUUUUCGUCAUAGAACUCCUUCUCGGUGACCCAAUACUUGGUGGCAGCUGCGCCGCUCAUGCCGUCACCAGAGGCCAAGUUCUCACCCCAACGCCCCAUCGAGUGCUCCAUGGCGCAGUCGCCAACUCUUUUAUCCGCAUAUUCUUGGGCAUACUGGGCCAAGGUCGUGUUCCAAUUGAGGGGUUUGUUGCCGACCUCUUUACGAGCCUUGUUGUGCUCCUCGACGAAGCCAUCGAUCUCUUCUUUAGAAAUGUUUGCAAAGACAAGAGUGAAGACCAAUGCGACGCAGCAAAUGGCCAAAAGAAGCUUCGUGUUGAACGCCAUUUUUGUUUUUUGAUAUGAGAAGUUUAAGGUCUUUUCUUUGUAGUAGAGAAGGUUGGAUUGUUAGAUGUUGAUUGAAAGGGGGCAUGGGAUUGUGCAUAUUUAUAGAGACACAGGCAAGUUUGUGUCCGCAAAGAGGGUCUUCGAAAAUAGGCCCUUAAAAAUGGGAGGGCUGAAUAUUAGUUUUUUGGAUUCUAUAGAUUGCUGUAGAGGCGGGGCCAAAUAAAGAAAAGAAAGAAGAGAUCCAUAGAAAUUUGUGGUGUCACAUCUUUUGUGCUUGGAAUGCGUCCACACCAAGUUUUACUCACAAUAAGGAGGGAAGACAAUUUCUUUGGUGAGUUUCCUUUUUUUUUUCCCCUUAAAAAAGUAAGUUCUUCUUUUCUGUUCUUCUUUUCUUUUCUUCUUUCAGGUGAACUAUUUUUUUUUUUUUUUCUUGUUCUUUUUCUAAAGGAUAAGAUGGAAACAAGAAGUAACGAGGUAGAACAUUAUUGGGUGUCUUGAGUAAUAUGUCUUUUGUUUUUCCUUCAGUUGUGUCUGUUUUUCCUCAUGACUUAGUUGGCCUCCUUUCUCCUAUGCGUCUAUAUGCUAUUGUUUAAACCUGUCUUCUGGUCCUAAUCCCCUUUGUUCACUAAAAUAACUGAUAAGGAAAAUCACCAUACUCUAGUUUUUGGUGUCACCCACUAUACGUUUCUAAUUUAGCCAUAUUCUUUUUUAUAAGAAUUCACUCAUGUUUUUUUUUUUUCUUAUGAACAAACUCAUGUUAUAAUGUGCGUUUAUUUAUUAAUAUUAUAUCAUCGGAUGCAAAGGACUUGUAACUCAAAUAGCUAAAAGCAUUUACUCUGCAUUUGAAGUCCUAAGUUUGAUUCCAUCCUCCCUCAAUAUGGCUUGUAUACAAAACUUUAUAUCAUAAGAUAUAAAUUUGUCGUUCACUUAAUGUUACAGUGACCAAAAAAAAAAAACCUUCUUCAAUUUUUUAUAAUCUUAAUGGUUUUUUGAUUUACAUGUGUCUCUACUAGUGAACUGUUACUUUUUUUUUUUCCUUUUUUUUAUAGAAAUAUGGGCUCCAAAAUCUCCACCCUCAUCAGAUCUAUUGCACACCUAUCAAAUUUGUAGCUAGCUAAUGAGUCAAAAAAUCAUAAGAACAACCAUACAUAAUUCAAAUCAAAGCACCAUAUAUAUUUCUCUUUCAUUUUUAUCAACCAAAACACAUUAAAUUAAUUAGGCUAAAAGUUACUUUUGGUCCCUGUUGUUUGACACUUCAACCACUUUUGACCAUAUAGUUUCAAUUCCGUCAAUUUUGACCCUGUAGUUUUGUGUUUGUAGCAAUUCAAGGACAAGUUAGUAUUCUUGUCAAUUUCUUUGACGGUGCAAGGGUCAAUUUCGUCAACCCAAAAUCCUUGAGAAUAAAAGCUCAUCUAAAACUCCCCCUAAUUUCAUAUUAGGGCUUGAAAUUGAUCAUUUGGGUUUAGGGUUCUUAAAAAAUUGGAAUUAGUGGUUGAAUUUCAGCCCUAAUAUGAAAUGGGGAGAAUUUCAGACAAGCUUUUACUCUCAAGAGUUUUGGGUUAACGAAAUUGCCCUUUGCAUCAUUAAAGAAAUUGGCAAGAAUACUAACAUGUCCUUGAAUUGCUACAAAUACGAAACUACAAUGGCAAAAUUGACAGACUUGAAACUACAGGUCAAAAGUGGUUGAAGUGCCAAACUAUAGGUAUCAAAAGUGACUUUUGUCCAAUUAAUUAUUUUGAGAUGUAACUUUCUUCAAUAUGACACUCAACAAUUAUACCUAUACAAUCUAGUAAGGACGCUCUCCUAUAUAAUUUCCAGGAGGAUAAUAACUACAAAUCACAAACAUCCAGCCAUUCUUGCACAUAGCCCUAGCACAACCCACAUGAGUCGAAUUGCGCCAAACCACCUGAGUGUAGUGACCACAGACAUCACCAACGCAUGUGUUGGAGGCAUAGUCGUAGUUGGGCUUCUCAGUCACCCAAAACUUCACAGCCUGCCCGCCGGUCAUUUCUCCAUAGCCUUCAGCCAAGUUCUCACCAUAUGGGCCCUGUGAGUGCACCAUUUCACACGUCUCAAUCUUCGAAUCCGCAUACUUCUGGGCGUAGGCUGCAACAGUGUCGUUCCAUUUGAUUGGACCAACACCAACCUCAGCUCGAGCUCUGUUGUGUUCAUCUAUGAAGUCCUGGUGGGGUUCUUUGUUGGGUCUGGCUUGAGAGGCAUGGGUGUUUAAGAUUAGGGCUAUGGAGAAUAUGCCUAAUAAAAGCUUAUUGAUAGCUCCCAUUUGUAUCUCUGUGCAAGGCUUGGAUCGAUGUAUUAGAGGUUGAUCUUAGGGCAAAUUUAUAGAGAGUUAAGGCAAUUUGAACUGUAAAGAAGAAGAUCUCAGAAUUAAUUGCUGUCUGUGACAUUCCUUGGAUUUGGUUAGAAAAUAAAGAAACAAAAACAAUUACAUGCCCAUUUUUGGGGAUUCUUGGGUUUGAUUUGUAUCCGUUUGCCAAAGGUGUCACACAUUUGGAGAUGGCAGUAUAAAUGCAUAUUAAUGGUUGUGUUGUUAAAAAUUUCACGGAAGGAUAAGUUUCUAAUUGAAGAUGUUACUAAAAGGUGAGUAAAGACUAUG